UUGGUGUUUUUAACUUAUCCCAUUUACUUUCUGGUAAAAACUUAUAUCUAUAUAAAUUGGCUUCUGCUCCUAUAUCUAUCAUUGGCGUAUAAUAUUUAUUAAAAUAUCCUUCUACUAUUAUCUUCAUGAGUACAUAUAUUUUCAUAUUAAACCUCUUUUUAUUAACAAUUUUUCUUUAUUAUACGUUAUGGUUAAUUGGGUAUGUUCUAUAUUGUAUGGUUUUACUUGUUCCAACCAUUUUAUUCCUAAUAUUAUAUCUGUUUUUUGUGGUUCUUCUUUUACUUCAAAUUCAAUUUUUAUCUUUCUGACUCCUAUUAUAAUUUCUUUUUCAGUCGUAUUUUUAAUAAUUAUUAGGUUUCUUGGCAAGUCUGGACAUUUAUCAUUAUUUGUUUUAAUUUCUUCAAUUUUUACUAAGUAUUUCAUUAUAUAAUUAUCUUCCUGUCCUGUCUUUAUUAGUAUUAAAUAUUUUUUUUCAUCUAUUGUUCCUAUUAUAUAAUAUUGAGUUAGGUUAGGUUUUGGAGUUAUCUCAUAUGCUAUUCUUUUUUAUGGUUCUGGCUUUUCAAAGAUAUUCUUCUUGAUGUUCCUAUUCUUUCAUUUACUAUUUCUAAAUCUUCUUCUAUAUCUAUAUUUUGAUAGCUAUAAUCAUUAUUAUCUAUGAUUUUUACAAAUUGCUCAAACAGGCUUUCUAUUUGUAUUUUAUUUAUUUUAUUUUUUUCAGUUAUUUUAUGCUUUGUUGUUAAUACAUAUAAAUUUUUACAUCUUACGAUAAAUAUUUUACUUCCUGGAGUUAACUCUAUUCCUCAUAUUUUCCAAUAUAGUACUAAUGACUUAUCCAUAUUUUUAUUUGUUAUUGGUACUGAAUAAUUUGCACUUAUUAUAAAUUUAAAUUUUUGGUAUAUUAAAUUCCCUCUUAUAGCACUUAUUAUGCUUUUUUCUAUAGAUUUUAUGAUCCUAUCAUCUGCUAAAUAUAGUUUUAUUGGUGUAUCUAUUCCUUUUCGAAAACAUGCUUUUAUUAAUAUUUCUGUUCCUCCAAAGUGUACAUAUUUUAUUGGGUCUUUACUUUUUAUAUCCUAUAUUUCUUUAUUAACUAUUCUUUUUGUUACUAGUGGUAAACUAGCUUUUCCUUUCGCGUAUCUACAAUCUAUUAUAUGUUCUUUUUGGCUUACUACGUAGUAUUCUUCUUUUCGUCUACUAAAUAUAUUCCUUAUUAUUGGUAUUUUAAAAAAAAAUUUUACACUUAAAUCUAAUUCUUUUCCUUUUAUUUCUUCAAAAUAUAUUACUAUCAAAUAUAAUUUUUUGAUCUGUUUCUUCUUUAUUUAAAUAUUCUUCCUUUUUAUUAUUUGUAUACUUUCUUCAGUCAUUUAAUUCAUCUAAUUCGCUAUCUAUUUCGUUAUCUAUUUCAUUUUCCGAGAUUUCAUAUAUACUAUCUUCACUUUCUAAUUCAUAAUCUAUAUAAUUUAUUUGCAUAUAUUCUGUAUUUUCUAUCUUUAUUUCUGAUAUUUGUUUCUUUUUUGGAUCUUUGGGUACUUUACAAUCUUUAGCUAAGUGUCCUAAUUUUCCACAAUUAUAACAUUUGCAUUCUUUUAUAGAUUUCUUCUUUCUAUAUGGUCUUUUAUGUUUAUAGUCUUUUACGUAAUAUCUUUUUCUUGGUUUUUUAUAUUUAUAUUAGGAUUUCUUAUAUCUAUUAUAUUUCUUAUGUCUUUUCUCUUCUUGUAGUAUUUUUCUUCACAUCCGAAUUGGGGUGCUAUUUUAUCUUUGCAACAUGCUAAAUUUUUUAUUAAUGUUUUUUAUAUUUUUAAUUCUUCCCUAUAUUUUUCACAUAUAUUCCUAUACCAUUGUUGUAAAAAUUGUCCUUGCUCCUACAGCAUCUACUAUUUUUGCUUCAUUCCAACUUUUUAUUAUUUUUGAACUAAAUGGUUCAGGUAGUUUGCUAAAAUAUAAUCUCCUUAUUUCCUUUCUCUUCUAUAUUAUAUUUUCCCUUAUAAUAAUAUUCUUCGAAUGCACAUGUAUAUUCAUCUAUAUAACACAUAUUACAUAUUGCUAAUUUCAACAUUAAAUUCCUAUUUGUAUCCUCUUCUAUAUUUUGUUCUUCUUCUUCUGUUUCCAUAUUACUAAAUUCAUUUCUUAUAGUCGUUUCAUAUUUUUUUAAUAUUUCUAUGGGUGAUGCUUUAGUUGUUCCUUCUUUAGUUGUACCUUCUGUAUUUUUGUCAGAUCUUAGUACCUUUUUACUUUCCUCAGUUAAAUUUGAUAGCCAUAAUUUUACUAUUCCUAUUAAUGUUCUUUCUAUAUAUUCUGGUGCAUCUGCUGUGUCUAUGUUAUUAUCUACUAAUUGUUUUGAUAUAUAUCCUACCCAUAAUUGUAUCGUCUUAUUUGUGUCUAUUACACAGUCUAAAUCUAAGUUGUAAUUUUUAUUAACUAUUUGUUUUGGUGUCCAUCUAUAUUCAUUUUUUGGGUUGUACAUAGUUUUGUAAUUCUAUUUUGAUUUUCUUAUUUCUGAUGUACUAGGUAUUAUGUUUUCGUCAUUUUUUGUAUCAAGAAUUUCUAGAUCUUAUAUUCUUUCUAAAAUUUCUGUAUAUGUUUCACUAUCUUCUGAAUCACAAUCAUUUAUUUUUUCAGUAUCUAUUGUAUUUAUUUCUAAUUCACUGAUCUUUAAUUCUUCAUUUUUUAUUUUUACUUUUUCUUUAAAUUGGUUUAUUUCAUCUAGUAGUUUCUGUUCUUUAUCCUUUUCGUCUUUUUCUCUUUGUCUUUUUUCAUAUAGAUCUUUUAGUGUUUGUAAUUCUUUUUCUAACUCAAUAAUCCUAUUAUUUUAUAUUUCUUCUAUUUAUCGAAUUUCAUCCGUAGUUUGUUGUUUCAUUUUUUCUAUUUCUUUUUUACUGUCUAUUUCUUCAUUUUCUUUUGCUAUUCUUACCAUAACUGUUAGUUUAUCUUCUAAUUUUAAUUCUUCUUUUUCUAACAUUAAAUAUAAAUGUUCACAUAUUUUCUUAUAUCUUCUUUCUAAAUUAAAAAAUACUAUUCUUAAUUUUAAUCCUUCGUGAUUUUCAUAUGUUUUUUUCAUCUAUUAUAAAUUCUUCUUUAUUCAUUUUAUCUAUUUGAGGGUAUAUAAGUCAUGUUGAUAUAGGUAUUCUAGGUUAUCUAUCAGAGAUUCUAAAUAUGAUAUUUCUUCUUUUUGUGUUUUUAUUAAUUUUUGACAUAAUCCAACAAUUAAUUAUACUGUAGUCUUUCUCUAUUUAUUUUUAAUUCUCUUUGUUUCACAGAUAAUAUCUGUUUUAGUUCCUUAUAUUUUUGGGAUUGGUCUAUAUUAUUCAUUAGUAUUUAUAAUAUUUUGGUAGAUAUCUAAAUUUAAUUCUAUAAUACAGUUCUUCUAUUUUUAAAUAGCAUAGCUUUGAUACCAAUUUUGGCGGUACUUGGAUACUGCUUCUAUCAUGUUUGUUGAAAUGCUAUGUUAUAGCAUUCUAUAGUUAUUUGUUUUAACCUUAUUAAUUCUUCUAUAUUAUUUUUAAGGUAUACUAUAUGCCUCAUAUCUUUUGAAGGAAACAUAAACAAGCUAGUGAUAUUCAUUUUCAGCAAAUACAUCAUCAUUAAUUAGUCUACUCGUCCAAUUUUUCACAAUAAAUCCUACUUGAAAAUAUAAUGAGGAAAACAAGAAUUAUAGCAUUUCUUUUGAUAACGUUGAAGGAACCAUAACCAUCUACUGAUGUUCAUUUCUCAACAAAUACAUCCGACUAUCAAAACAAGUUACAAAAUGGCUUUCAAGAAAAGAUUGGAUGCAUAUUACAUAAAAGAAUAAAAUCCAAAUAAACGAAAUCCUUUUCAAUCAUGCGUGUAAUGAAAUCGUUUUUACUCAUAGAACCAGAAUUAAGAAAAGAUCAAGACCUACUAGGAUACUAGGAAAUGAUGUGGAAGAUCCUAUACAACAAUUUCUUUUCUAGGAAGAUCAUAGAUUGCUCCAAAUUCUAGAAUUUGGAAACCUCUGAGCUCAUAUUGAACAUAUAACAUAAAGUUGGACUGAUAUAGUUGCGGAACAAACAGAGUAACAAAAUUCACAGCGUCUAAGGGUCUGUCAGGUACGAAGGGUCUGUCAGGUAGGAAGGAAAAUGUUUUUCUAGAAACUAUUUUCUUGGAAAAUAAAUGGAUUUCGUACUUAUUUUCUAGUCUCUGGAAAAUAAGCAAGAAAAUAUUCUACCUAAAACAUUUAAUGUAAUCUAGCGGAACACUACAGCGAUAUCUAGCAAAACACUAUAGCGAUGCGGUGGGAGUGAGGUUAGGGUGGCAGGGGUAGCGUUGGGGACAUUAGGUGGAUGGGACAAGCCAAUAAAAUUGUAAUGUCACUUAUGGAGCUUAUUUUCCGUAUUUCCAUUAGGAUAAACAUACUUUCAUUAGAAAGUUUUUAAAAAGCUUGUUUCCCACAAAAAAUGUUUUCGAAAUAUCAGAAAAACUGUUUUCGAAAUAUUGGACGAACCUCCAUACGGAAUAAACCCCAAUAUAUUUAAAAUAAUUGAACUGCAAGUAAAAACGGAAGAAAACUUCUUAAGAGAAAAAGAAAAAAACAAAAGAAAAUAAGGAACUAAUAAGAACUCCUAUUCGAGGAGAAAUUAAAAGGAAACUUGCUCACCGGAGACAAAGAGAUUGGUGGAUGGUUCAGCCGGUGGCUGCUUCUCUACUUGCGCUUGUGGUGGAUUAAAAGGAAAGUUAGACGAAAAUGUAGAGAAAACUGCUCUCAGACCUCGUGGUGCUACCGGAAUGGUGGUUGCGGCCGCUCGUAAGGCCAUUUUAGGGGUUCAGAAAUACACAAAAAAAAAUAAAAAAUAUCAGGGAUUUAGGUUUUUUUUUUUUUAAUAUAGAAAUAUCAAUCAAUCAACGAAUGAAUACUCGGUGCUUUAGAGUCGGGUUACGGGCUUCAGUCCAAUGGGCCGAAGUUCACACGUUCUCGGGUUUGGUAUGGGGUAAGUUUAGGGAGGGAUUAGGCGUUAAGAAUGUCUCGAGUCAACACAAAAUGUCUAUAAUAUCCUUCUUAAUUGCGUGUUGCAUCUCCUCUGUGUAGGGGUGAAUCGGUGAUCAUAUCAAGGUUUGGUUAAAAAUUGAAUCAUGACUAAAUCAAACCGAUUAAAAUAAUUAAUAUUUUAUUUAAUUUGAAAUUGUAAAAAUCAAUAAUAUUUGAUUUGAUUUUACAAAAAUAAAAAAGAAUAAAUAAUCCAACCGAACCAAUAAAUUAUAUAUAAAUUUUAUAAUCGACAUUUGAUUUUGUUGGAUUUGAUUUUAAAGUUUAAAAAUCGCUAAUAUUUGAUUUGGUUUUAGUUUUCCAAAAAAGAUUAUAGAAAAAAUGAUCAAACCGAACUGAUCAAUUAUAUACAUAAAUUUUAUAGUUAUUUGACUAUAUGAUAUUAGUUUUUCAUAAAUAAUUAUAAAUAUUUUAUAUCUUUCAAUCGUUUAUUCGAUUUUAGUUUACGUUUUCACAUGCUAACAAAACAAUAUGCUUCAACCUAACAAACCAAUAUGCUUAAACCUAACACUCUAAAUCUAAUUGUUCAUAUGUGAUGUAAUAUAUUACCAGUUUUUAUUCUUCUUUGCUAAGACAUCCAUCUAUUAUUCAAUAUAUUGUCCCUUUGAUUUUUGUAGGAUUAACCAUUAUAUUUAAAGUUGCAUAUUAAUUUUGUAUAUAUUAGACAUAUGAUGUGGAGUAACAUGUAUAGUUAUGCAAUUUAAAUAUACUAAACCAUCGAAAUAAUAUUAAAAAAAUUGAAGAUUCAUAUACAUUUAUCUUGUGAUAGUAAAGAGAACUUUGUUGAUUCCUAAUGUUCAUUUGAAAUAAUCAUCUCAUGUCUCCGUUAUUUUACCGCUAUUAAAUUAUCAUUAGCUAGUCAAAAUCAAAUUACUGAACUAAAUCAAAUCAAAUCGAUGAUUUUAUUUUAUUUUAAAUUUUUAAAAGCCAAUUAUGUUGAUUUGAUUUUGAUUUUAAUCAAAAAUCGACUCAAAUCGAAUCAUGAACACCUCUACCUAUGUUUGUGGUGGCACGGUGUGAAUAGACUGCCCCAAAGUCAACUCUCAACUCCUUAUAUUUUCUAAAAAGUUAGUAUUCCCUUCGUCCAACAACACUUGUUCACUACUGACUUGGCAUAUAAGUUAAGAAAUAAUUAAUAAUAUGAAUAAUUUUACUAUAUCACUAUAUAAAUAUAAUAAAUUUAAUAUCUUAGGAAAUACAUUGAAUGAUGAAUAAUAUGUAAUAGCAAGAAUAAAAUAGAUAGAAAAGAAUAAAUUAUUCAUUAAUUUUCAAAAAUAAAUAAAUAUUAUUGUACAUCUAUUUUUAAUAGAAGGAACAGAUAUUAUUGGAUGGAGGAAGAACAAUACAACAAUGUUAACACCCUUAUAUCAUACUCACAUUAGGCUAUUGAGUUGUAAUUCUAUUUAAUUUUUUUUUCACUCUUCAUUUCUUUUUUCAUUUUUCUUCUCUAUUCCCCACUAAUAGUCCUCUACUAACGAUUACUACAAGUUGAAUUUUGAAAAAAAAAAAAAAAAAACUCCAAAUAUACAGUUUACAUAAUCUUUGUUUACUUCAAUAACACAAAGACACCAUUUUUUCUUAACUUUUCGUUUCUCUCUUUAAUUAUACAAUCAAACUUUUUGCUAAAUUAGUGUCAUUCAAGUUGUGAAGGUUAUCAAAUAUGUCUCCACUGACACUGACAUUCAAGUGGUGAUGAUAUCUAUCUCAACCCCCAUGAUAUAUUAAGUCAAUUCAAUACUCAAACAGUAAUAAUAAAAGUAAAAAUGGAGAAGAACUAAAUAAAGAUAUGUCUCGAACAACAUCACAUAAUUAACACGAGAGGUACGAAAAAGUCAUAUUGCUAUAUUUAAAUUCUAGGCCGAAAACGUCAACCCUAGCCUCACAAGGGCAAGACUGAAUUUUAUUUGAAAAUCACAUUACCCAUAACUUUAAGGGUUCAAAUAUGAAAUUUAAUAAAAAAUUAAGUUAAUCAAAUCAUGAAUAAAUCAUUGGGGAAUGUGUAUAAAUAGUAUGAAAAUCAUAUUCAAAGAGAAACCGUUGAAAAACACCUUUUGAGUCUCCCAAAUUUGAGUUCUCAAGCUCCAAAAUUGAGGUAUAAAAAAUAAAAGGAGAAAAUAAGAAAAAUCCAUUGUAUCCACAAUAAUCUCCGCACAUGCAGAGAUAUGGUCACAAGCGGUGAAACUUCCAUAAAGACGAAAGUCACUAGUCAUGUAGGUUUCUAAAGAAAAGCGGACUUGUCCGGUAGGAGUGACAAAACGCUGAACUUUACUGGUGUGGCUCCAUAGUGCGGCCCAACACCAUAGGAGAUGCUAUUACAAACACUAGCAACUCAAGUUGAGCCAAAUGCGACUACCGAAUUCAAAAUCAACACCCAAAACUCAUCCUGAACUCUACGAAUACAAACUAACUAUGCUACUUGACUAAAAAUAGAAUUUUAAACUCAUUGAAACCGUUAAAACACCAAACAGAGGUCAUCUUUAAUGAAUGUUAACCGCAGGCAAUUUUAUAGUUUGAACUUCCUACUUUCCAACCAACUACUCAAAAUCUAUCAGAACGCCUCGAGACCUCAACCAUAGUCCUACUAAUCCAAAAAUGAAAUUGCACAACUAACAAAACUGACAUAAUUCUCAUACGAUCUUGUUAUCAUCAAUUAUUUACCAAAGUCAACUAUACUAACUUCUAAACCUUUCAGAAUGAAAAACUCAUACAAUACUCAACUAACCUCCUCACAGUUAUGCCACCCACAUGCACAGAUCAUAAAUACCAUAAAAAAAGUACAAGAAAGGAUAAAAUGGUCAAAAUGAACUAAGAGAAUAAAACACUAUGAGAGUUAUUACAUCAUCUACCACUAAACCACAUAUUCAACCUCUAAUGUUAGGAUAAGAAACGUACUCGAACUGUUAAAAAGUUAGAGAUAUCUACUCUAUAUGUCUGACUCUAUCUCCCAAGUGGUCUUCUCAACUAGGCAUGUGCACGAAUUGAUUCGGUUUAAUUUUAGCCAUCAUCAAAUUUCAAAUUUCAAUUUGUUAAAAUCUUAUCCUUACUCGAUUCAUUCUAGGUCUAAUUUGAUUUGUUUUCUUUAAUUAUUUUGAUUCGAUUUUGAAAUUUCAACAAGCAACUAUUUUCAUAAAUAUAAUACUCCCUCCAUCUUAUUUUAAGUGAUACUCUUUGACUUAGCACAACGUUUAAGAAAAAAAUGAAGAAUUUUGAAAUUUGUGGUUUACAACAAUACUCAAAUAUUUGUGUGACUAUAAAUCAUUUUAUUAAGGGUAAAAAGAUAAUCUUAAAGUUAAAUUGAUUCUAAUUAUUGUAAGAUGACAUUAUUUUUUUGGACGAACUAAAACAAAAAUUGUGCCACAUAAAAUGGGAUAAAAAGAGUAAAAGAUGUCAAAAUAUUUAAAACUAGUAAAUUUAUCCGCACUUCAUGUAGUUAAAAAUGAUGGUGGUUGGUAGAUUUCAAAUAAAAAAAAAUUAUGAGCUUACAACAAAGAAAUUCAUUUAUACAAACAAAAAAAAUAAUAAAAAAGCGUAUAAAAAUAAAUAAAUAAUAAAACAUUAUUUUUACGAUAUAUCUUAAUCAUAAACACAAAAGAAAAAAAUACAAAAUCAAUACACAAUCUUCUGAACUCUUAUUGGCAUCUCCCACAAGCCGACGCCACCAUUCAAUAGCCUUCAUCUUAUUCUUCGAGACAAAUAACAAAAAUAAAUGUAAUAAGCACCAAAAAUGUAACAUGAAACUUAAAAAAUUAAUGUGAUUGUUUGUACAAAAUUUUAAAAUAUUUAUUUAUAGGGUUGUAAUAUGAAAAUACUAAAUAUAUGUCAUAAAUAUGAUUAUUAAUUAUUUAAUAGGUCAUGAUAAUAAAAAGUUAUAGGAGUAAUGAAAAUAAUGAUCAUUAAAUUUUACAUUAAAGAAAUUUAAAGAAAAAAAAUUUAAAUUUCUUAACAUUGCAUAUUUAAUAUAAUUAAGAGAGUUGAAAGAAUUUUUUUUUUGAAGUUUUUUUAAUAUAGCACAUAAAUGAAAACAAAUAGUGAAAAAUUCAAAAAUUUGUAUUUCUUAGCCAACGAAAAUUCAAAAAUUUGUAUUUCUUAGCCAACAAAAGACGUCACGUCAUUUUUUUUCUAUUCUUAAUAUAUAUGUGUGUGUGCCUGUGUGUGUGAGAGAGAGAGACACUCCUUGACUUCUUCAUGUAUUUACUUUUUUACAUUUUGACAUUCCUUAAUAAAAAUUUUGGCUCCGUCAUUAUUUCACAUACAUAUAUUCAAUGAACAAAUAAAAAAUUGGUGAAAUACAUGUUUUCAGGCAUAAGAUGAAACUACAAAAGUGAAACAAAUAAGAAAGAACAGUCCAAAAGUAAAAACUUGUUUAUGAGUAUCAUAAUUGUAGAAAAUAGAACGUGAAGUAGAACAUGCAUAUAAUCACAUAGAAUUAUAAUUGCUCAAAGUGAUAAAAAGUAACUAAAAAUUGCUAUAAAAAGUAAAUGAAAAUUUGUAUUAAAGAAAUAAACACAAUUAUCUUAUUUUUAGUUUGAUGCUUAAAUUGUCUUGUUCAAAUCCUUCAUAAUGUCUCCUGAUCAAUUCAAAUCAAGAUACAUGCUCUAGAGGAAUAAUGCUUUCUUUGCUUUGAAGAUGCAAUAGACUAAAAAGAAGUAAAUAAAUUUGGUAAAAUUCUUGUUAUAAAUAUUCCAGUAUAUGAUUUAUAAAUAAAUAACAAUCUUAUUUAAAUACAAUAAUGGCCAAUUUAAAUAAACUAUUGUUACAUAUCUUUAUAAUCUCAACGUGAAACUUUUCAGUGUGAAUUCAAAUUUAAACAGGCUUUAAUGCGAAUAUCAAAUACGAAAAAAAAUCUUCAUAACCAAAGAAUCCUUUACAAAACCGCGUAGAGAGUCAAAUUAUAUGAUUUAGUAGAAACAACACAAAGUUUUGAUUGUUGUGUGAUCGCCUAUAUUAUCAUUAAAAAUUCAGAAAUUUAGAAUAGAGAGAUGAACUAAAAAGUAAAGAGCAAAAAUGAAAUCAAAUUAUAACACACUUAAAAAUCAUACAUGAUUCUAAAAUGAUAAAGAAUAUGGAGAGAUUGUGAUGAUUUUAGACACAGGUUUGUUUUACUUAUAUACAAUAUAGACAUAUAGAUUUAUGUUGAUUCAUUACAUAAUAAAUUAUCACUAAAUUUCUAAAUUAAUAACAUUGACUUUUGAGUUUUUGAAACGGGAAAAGAGUUAAAUGAAUAAUUAAUAGAAUGUAACAAGAAAUAAUUUUUAAGUUUUUUAAUGUAUCUUUUUAAAUUAAAAAAAUUAAGCUAAAUGUCAAAAAAUUGAGAAAAAAUCUAAAUGUGAUUUUUGACUUUAGAGACAUGCCACAUCAUCACUCUUAUGUUUCUCUUUUAUAUUAUAUAUAUAGAUAUAGAUUAAACCAUAAAUAGCUUGACUUGCAAGUUUAAAGUGCAAUUUAAAUCCAACCACAAUGAUUUAAAACUCAAAAGUACUAUUAUUUAGUGUACCUAGUUGAAGUGAGGACUAUACCCUAGAAAUAUACAAAUGGUAAAGGGAGCCAUAACAGGUUAAUAAAUUUUUAAUUUUAACUUUUUAUUUUUAAGAUCUGUUUUACCUCUCUCUAGGAGUUCUUACCCUUUUUGUUUCCUUGGUGACUUGAACUCACAAUAUUCAAGUUAUAAGUGAGGGAUGCGAACCAUCCUGUAAGACCCCGCAAAGUUCCCUUGUAGUUUGAACCUUGAGCGUGUCAAGUGAAGUGUAAUUUCGACCCUAAAAGAUUGAGAAGAGACUUCCUAAGUGAUAAGUGUUUUAAUCUUGUUUAAUUUUCUUGAAAAUGACUUCCUAUAGUUUAGAGAAUUGAAAUAUCUUUCCAACAAUACCAAUUUCAUCCAAAUCCGGCAUUGGGGUGGGAAGUAAUGGCCGUUUUACUGAGAGUGGUCGGAACCGCCUAGGUGCGACGGACAGGUUGACGGACCGUCGAGUGUGAGAUGGACCGUCGCCCGGACCAUCACAACCAAGGCAGUAACUCCCUUUUUUGGCCCAAGUACGAUGCACAAUCUGACGGACCGUCGAGUUUGCGACGGACCGUCACAUCAAGGCAGUGUGUUCUUUUUCUAACCAACGUGCGAUGAACGAUCCGACGGACCAUCAGGAUAGCGAUGGACUGUCGCUCCGACCGUCGCAACCCCCGUUUAGUAUUUUAAGUCAUUUUUAAAGGGGACUCUUCAUUCUUUCCACUCUUUUAUUAACCAGAUAUAUUCCAAACGAAGCAAAUGACUUUAUUCAUCAUCCAAAACACAAGAGAGAUAGGGUUUCUCCCUCAAGAUCUAAUCUAAAACCCUUCUCCAAGAAAUCCAAUAACUCACCAUAGAUUCUACAAAAUGAGUUGAGAUUUAGUUUUCUCAAGUUCAAGGGUUGCAAGAACCCUCUCUCAAUAGUAAGAAGAAGAGUUUGAACCAAGCUUGUUCAUCCAAUUUCAUAAUCUAAAGUAUGUGGGGUUUUGAACAAGGGUAAUCCUUUUACCCCUGUACCCAAAGACUUAUUUAAACUAUAAUUUUCUGCAAUCUAUGAGAUUUUACAUGAAUUUGAAUUAGGGUUUUUCACCCAUUGUUAUUGAUUGCAAUAUCUUGAUGUUUCCCAUGAAUUGAAAUUCAAAUAGCAUGAUUUUUGCAUGUUUUCUUAAGAUAUUGAAGAUGAGUUUAUACCCUAUGAUUUUAUUCCUUGAGAAGUUAAUAGUUGCAAUGUUUGAGAUAUUGAAGUAUAUGAAUAUGUUGAGAUUUUGGGACAAAUUGUUUUAACUUCCAGAUCUCUACAUGGAUUAUGGUUCUAUAUGUUAUCUAUUAUGCAUUUUGAUAAGUAUAAACUUGAGAUUGAAUUAUGGGUCACUAAGCCCUACUUGAGACUUGAAAUUUUAUGAACUAUUAUGCUAUAAGCACCCAUGAUAUGAGUGUUUUGAGAUUAUUGAGAAAUGUUUUGACCUAAUGGUCAUAGAGUUUUGAAAUUCACUCUACUACAUGAGAUUACAGAUUUGAUUAUUGGGUUCUGAUGAACCAUAAAAUUAUUUUGAAAGUGAUUUCUAUGAGAUGAGCGAGAUAAACUAAAGGGAGUAGUUUUUAGCACCGAGUUGGGUAAGUUACUAUGAUUUCUUACCUCAGAACUACGUGCUAUCGUAGGUUUAAGAUAAGUAAUCACUGAGUUGAGGUUAUACUCUUUGGCAAGAGUAUGACACCUCUCCCCAAUGUGAGGUUUCUUCCUUAGGAGGACAAGACGUUGGACUCUAUGUAGCUCGCAUGGUUUAUGUCAGUUAGGAGAACCUCCCUAAACUAAAGUAUUUUCCAUUGAGAUAGAAUAUUUUCCCUAAAGCUUUGAGAUGAGAUAUUUUGUAAAGUAAACGAAUUGCUGUUGAGUAUUUUCCCAAGAAGGAAGUAGUUUUCUCUACUAAUAAGAGUUGAUCAUCAGUUGUUAAACCAAAGUCAUAUGAUUCUGAGUUCCAAGUGUUUGAGUUCAAAAGAGUUAUAAGUCCUUGAGCAAUAAAGAAGUUUUACUCUCCAUGAGAUAUAGGCAUGAGUUGAAAGUAUUGUUUAAAGCUUCCCUCAUCCUGUGAGUAAUGAUAAUAAGAGGAGAGUACAGAUUUUAAAGCCAAAGUAUAAUGACUCACGAGAUUUGUGUUACAUGCUUCAUUCUACAUGAUUUAUGAGCUUUACAUUUUAGACUUAUUCAAGCCAUGUAAGUCAUUCCUAUUUGCAUGCAUGAUUUGAUUAAAGAGUAUUGAUAUUGUUUUAUGUAAAUGCAUACAUCCCCAUAUACUCAGUACAUUCCCAAGUGCUGAUCCACAUAUACGUCUAUGUGCUACAUUGUCUUAUAAUGUAGGUUCAGGUGCUCAGUCUCAGCCUCGUCAGUGAUUCCCAAGUACCUUCAUCUAUAUUUCUACUGUGGUGAGUCCUCAUGGUUCAAGGAACUAUCUUCAGACAUUUCAAUAUUCGAGUGUUUAUGUUAUUACUUUCAGUUUAGUUUGAGUCAGUUGGGUACCUGUCCCAAUGACUCUCGAGUUCAUGGAGUAGUAGAGGCUUUGUUAGAUUAGUUAUCAGACUGUGGUUGUGUUGAGAUUUCCAGUAUUGUGAUCAUUUAUACCGAGUAUUACCUUUAUAUUUCCUCUCAUUUUAUAUGACCGUGUUUUGUAUAUUCCUUCUUGAAUGAGUUAUUAUGAGAAGUGAUAGGCUUAAAGGUUUAGCUUGGGGCUACUUGUUUCCCUAAGCACCAUGUGACGUCCCGAAAGGUGAUUUUGGGUCGUUACAAACUUGGCAUUAUAGCCUAAGGUUUUAAAGGUGUCCUAGGGAGUCCGACAAGCCGCGUUAAGUAGAGUCUUGAUCAUCGGUGUGUAGUUGCCAUAUCUAUGAGCAAGAGGCUACAAUACGUUUUAAGAAAAAGUUAUUUUUCUUUCAGAUUCCAUUGUGCCAGCAGUUGUCCCUCUCAUCUAAUAAUUCAUGCUCUCCUAUUUUAGAAAAUGACUCUCCAAAGAGCGAAUGCCCGCAAAAACUGAUAAUGCUCAACUUACACUUCAAUUUAGUGCAAGACGGUUGUCGUCAAUAUAUUUACCCAACUUUGGAGUCGGGGUCGAAUCCACAGGGAACAAUGUAAGUGGCGAUUAACCUAGUUUGAAACUAAAGCUACAAGUUAAAUUCAAACAACUGGCACGAAAACAUAUAAUGGGGGUUUUGAGUUUAACAAAUAAUUGUUGGUCACUUUGGUUUCUGUGUUUGUAAUUAAGAGUUUAUGAGAAACCAGAAUUAUGUUCACUAGGGUUUUGGUACUUGACAGAUGCUACUAAUGGUUCAAGAUUCCCACAGUAGGUAGGACAACAAGUUAUCUUUAUCGACUUUAUGCUUAAAUGUCUCUCGACCUACUUAAGCAUUUAAUUACCUUAUCCUAUUGGACUUAGGGAAUUUAUAUUUACUGCCCAGAUUUUACCUCAGGUUAACCAACCUUGUUACAACGCUGAUUAUUAAACGGAGUAUUUUCAAGUCCCUUUUGAUAAUUCACUUCCCACUAUAUUUGAUUUCUUUCUCAAGCAAACCAAAGCAGGUGUUUUCUAUUAUUUGCAACCAACAGACAUUAAUUAAAACCUCAAAAUUAUUAAGAAAUUCUACCACCUUUUGAAUCUUGAGCACUUAGCACCUUAUCAAGACCUAACCCUAGAUACCAUAAUUCAGGUUAAAGGAAUUUAGCCACUAAUAAUGCUAAAAUCCAAACAACAAGUUGUAUUCACGCUUUGAAAGUUAAACUUACCACAAGAAGAAUAAUAACUAGUGAAUCGCACAUUCGAUCACAAAGGAAAAAUCCCAGAAUAAUGAUAAUAAUAUCUUCAAAGUAUUUGCUUUUUCAAGCCAUAAAAUUAGAGAGAAAAUAUCAAAAGUAUUGUCAAAACUCAAUGUGUGGAACUUUUCAGAAAACCUUAAAACAAAGCUUUACAUAGUUCACCCUAAUUAUGGAAACAAAAUAAUAGAAUUCAGAAAUCCCUCAGAUUAGGUGACGACAUUUGUGAUAGCCUAUCAGAAGGAUGACGACUUAUCAUAAAUGCUGUUAGCUCCUUCUUCAAUUUUGGCUCUUCCUGUUUAAGGCUGACGAUAAACUUGACAACUUAUUAGCUUUGUGACGGCCUGUCAUAAAAUAUCGUCAAAGCUUUACUUCAGUUCUCCUGUGCUGCCUCAGGUUGAUGACAUUCUUGACAGCUUAUCAGACCAUUGACGACUUAUCACAUAAUGUCGUCACUUCUUUCAACUUAGGCCAAUUCUCUGUUUACUGCUGACGACGAACUUGAUAACUUGUCACAGGGCUGACGACUUAUCACAAAUGCUGUCAGCCACACUUUUCUUCAAAUUUCUUCAUAUCUUAACUUUUUUGCUUCCAUUCUUGUUGGUUCUCUAUCAUAUCAGCUUAAACUGCAAAAUCAAACAUAAGCCAAUCAAAAAUAACAAAAGUUGCUUAAGACUUCACAAUUAUUCUUAGGUAAAAGCCUCAAAUGUGUUAGCAUUAGCUCACACAUCAACACCCUCAACUUAAAACAAUUGUUUGUCCUCAAGCAACUCAACUCAACUAAGAGAUUACAAAGUACAUUUAGCAGUCAAUCAUCCAUAUCAUCUCAAAACACUUUUACCAUCUCAAAGGUCACUCAAUUCAAGAACAAUGAAGAACACCAAUGCAACACGCAGGAAUCAAGAUACAACAUUAAUUCAGUUAUAAAAACAAUGCACAGACUAUUAUUACACUACCCGAAUAAGUCAGUAAAUAGAAAUAUAACCAGUGUGCCCUCCUAGCAAAGAAAUCCCCCUCAUCUCAUAUCAGGAAUUAUAUAUGUAAGCAUAGGGACAAUCAAAACACCCACUCUCAAAAUGAAGUUCCAAUCAGUGUAUCUCAACUACCAUAGGCUUGCCCUUAUUUUCAUUACCCAGAUCUUCAGAUAGGUCAGCUAGGAUCACUAUAGAACUUCUGUUAGGCUUGUAAUGUAUGGUAGGGGCUAGUAUGAUACUUGAUGGUAUUUAAAGUGACUAAACCUCCUUGAAUAUACACUAGCUUUUUGGGGUUACGCUCAUUAGCCUUUUCUGCUCUUCUCUUUCCUUGAUCACACUUAUUUAGGCUGGGUACAGUGUUUUCUCAAUUACUUAUUCUUUUUCACAAUUUUUUUUCUUGCCCUUUCUUCUGUAGCCAGCUUUUUAUUCUUUUCUUUUAUGCUACCUUUCUUCAUACUCAUUCUGUAUCACGCACCCCUAUGUUAUCCACCCUCAACUUAGGCUAUUUGCCUAAGUUAAGGUGCACAGUAUCCAAGGAGGACCAGGGCUAAAAUAGGUUCAUUAUGAUCUAAAUGAGAAGGUGAAAAAUGUCAUACAGAGAAAUAGGCUAAUUAGGCUCAAAAUAGGGAUCAAGGGAUAUGAUACACAUAGGGAAGGUGGUUUAGGCUAAAAGUGGGCUAAUAUCAAAAUGACCUAUGAUCCUUUCCUAACCCCUAUCCUUCAACCUAGGUAAUACUAACCGAGAAAGUAAUGAAUCCAACAUACAGAGGGAACUAAAUAAAAUCUCAUACCAUAAAAUGUGCUCACCAUCUUGGCAUACUCAUCGAUGCCAUCGCUAUCAAAAUUCACGAUGACUGUUCUAACGCCUCAACCCUAAGUCUCUUUGCAAUGGGCACAGUGACUUCAUCAUCAUCACUAGUAUCAAUCAUGGACACCACUCUUAUAUCUUUCGGCUAUCAUAUAAAUUGACAAAUAUUAAAAAUGACUUACUAAUCAUUGAGUUUGAACUUUAUCUACCCCAUCUCUAUGUCAAUCAAGGCCCUACCCGUAUCUAGGAAAGGACUUCCUAAGAAAAUAGAGACUUCAAAGUCCACCUCACAAUCCAAGAUCAUAAAGUCAACCAGAAAUAUAAAGGAUGAAACCUUCACCAAUACAUCACACAAAAUACCAAUUGAUUUCUUAAUAGUCUGACUGGUUGUAGAUGUAGGUUUGGGUGCCCCCAACCCAACUACCUGUAUACCACUAACAUGAGAUUGAUGCUAGAUCCUAAAUCAUAUAAUGCUUGAGAGAAGUUAAAGGACCUAAUAGUACAUAGAAUGGUGAAUGCUCCAAGGUCCUUCUUUUUCUCCACUAAUGAUCGGGUAGCCACGACACUACAAUAGUGCACAUUAUCUGUGGGAUUAAAGCUCACCAUCCACUUCUUAGUGAACAAGUCCUUCAUAAACUCCACAUAGCCAGGCAUAUUCUCUAAAGCUUCUACAAGAAGAAUGUUAACAAAUAACUCCUUUAUCUUAGACACACAUUCUGGUACUUCCCUUUCUCUUGCUUUUUUUUUUCAACGAAUGAGGAAAAGGUGGGGGAGGACGUGAAAUAGUCUUCAACACUGGUUUAUCUACCUUUCUUUUACCACUAUCCUUAGAAACCUCUUUCUCAAAACCUAUUGAUUGUUGUUAUGACUUAGCAUUAGUCACCACCUCCUUUAACUCUGAUUCAAGUGCCUUAUCUAUAUUAAUGCUAUCUUUCUUUGACUCAUCAACCAUGAGCAUAGGAGAGUCAAUAGUUGUCUUACCACUUUCUGUGGUGAUGGCAAGACAGUUACUAUUGUUCAUAGGAUUUUUCACUAUAUUACUUGGAAGGGUACUUUGUCGCCUCUUAUUCAAGGUUGCUGACAUUUGACUGAAUUAUUGCUCCAACUAUUUGAUCGCAGUAGCAUGCGAUUCUACCUUCUGGUUCCAACCUGAAAUGUCUGCCUUAAUCUCCUUAAGGUAAGUUUCUUGACUUUUCUAUCCUUUGACUAGCUUGGACAACAUCGCCUCGAUCCUUGAUUCACUAUCUCGAUUACCUAGUGGAACAUAUCUGUCCCAUUUCUAUUUAUAGUCAUCCUUACGUCUCUAGUCACCGUCUCUCUCUCUACUCCAAUCUCUGUACCUAUCUUUAUACUAGUUCUGACCUUGGUUUCAUUGCCCUUGGCUUGGAACCCACCAACUCUCUGUCAAGAUACUUGGCCUCUUCUUCUAAAUCAGAAUCAUAUGAGUUAGAGGCCUUACCCUAUGAGCCAACAACAUUUACCUUUUAAGAAUUCAUUAUUGCAAACUACUUCAUCAAUAGCCCAACCUCAGUUCUAAGCUGCGCAACCUCCCUUUGAAUCAUCAACCACUCUAUGCUCACUAGAUUCCCAAUGGCAUAAGUGCCAGCACUCCUUUCUACCUCUCGAGUAUGCCACCCUCAGUUGGUGAGAAAGAUCUGAUCUAAUAUAUUUGAUGCUACCUCCCAACAGAAGCAAAUAAAUGCCCACCACUAAUAGUGCCUGCCAUAGCUCUUGAACUGGUAUUAAGGGCUCUAUACAAUAUUUCUAACAAAUUCUGUCUCAAAAUUCUAUUAUUAGGCACCAUCAUCAACUUUUUCUUAUACGAAAACCAUGCCAUAGACAUUGACUCAAAAUACAAUUGCCUGAAGUUAUAUAUCUCAUCUUUCAACUAUAACAUUAUGGCUAGAGAAAAUAAAUAGUCUGAAAACUGCCUCCGCAAUUCAUUCUAAGUGGUAAUUAAUCUGCGAUGAAGUUCCCCUAACCAUAACAUAACUUCACCAGUCAAUGACAACGAGAACAACCUGAGUCUUUGUGCUUCCUGAUCUAUUCUCGGUAUAAUAUAUGAAGUUUAGAUCCUAAUAAAGUUUGUGAGGUGCAUAUUUACGUUAUCAGUUAGUAAGCCCGCAAAUAAACCCUUCAGGUUCAACAGUUGGAUCAUAGCAUUAGUGAUAUAAAACUUCACAUUUGGUGGCAAUGUAGGAGGAAUUAUAGUUCCUAUCUUGGUAGGCUCAAUAUACCCCAAGUCCUUUUCUGGAUCUUCAUAUGGUGGCAAGUAUUGAUAGGAUAGUAGUACUUGAGCUCUACCAUCUCUAACCCUGUCUCAAUUUCUAUCAAGUGUUGCUUGACGAUCAACAACUGGCCUUUGCCUCGCCAGCUUAGCUUCUUAAGAUAUAUGCUGGGUAUCUAUUUUCCUCCUCUGGUUAGCAGCUACUUUUUAUAUUAAUUGCUCGGUAUGUUGAUAAAAAAUGUCCUCAAAUAUAGGAGGCGGAGAAGUAGGCAUAACACUUGGAUCAUCUCAAACCCAUUCAGAUGGCCUUCAUGUACGUGUUCUAUCAUUGUAUGAUUCUGCUAUAGAAUUCACUCUAGGUUAGGAUGUAGUGGGAGUAAGGGAUUGCCUUGAUAUCUAGUGUUAGGGAUACACCGGCGUACACCCAAUGAAUAAUAACAAAAUAGAACCAAAAACUUCAACAACUUCAAUCAAUAAUUCCUUAACUGUAUUUCCCAAAAACAAUGCCAAAAUUUGAUGUUGCCUGAAACUUACCUCCAAAGAAGUAUACCGCGAUGUCAAAUACAGUAACCCAACUAGGUUAGGGUCGAUCUGUCAUGACCUAAUUUAUAUGUGAUGAUGGUACCUAUUAAGUCCUGCCAGUAGGUAAGCAAUACCAUAACUCAGAGCUAUCGUAAUGGGUUAAUUUGGUAAGGAAUGCCAACAUAGGCCAAAUUUAAUGGAUACAAGUUAAAAUAUAAACAAAGUGUUCUAAUAUUAACAAACAGUUAUCAUAAGAUACCAAUCCCACGACCUGGUAAAGAUAGUACAAGAGCAUAUAAUAUCAAUAAUACAACCCAAAAGUCUUAGAAUAUAGUCAAUCCAUCUGUUUCAAAUACUAAAGAUUGAAUGUAAAAGAUAAGGGAAAGUAGGUGAUUUGAACUCCAUGAACUCACCCUAUCUCCAGAAGUCAAUCACCACACGAGCUCAAAUCAACGAUGAUAGCUAGUACUCAAAUCUAUACCAAAAGGUACAAAAGUGUAGUAUGAGUACCAAAACACUAGGUUCUUAGUAGGCAUCAUCGCUCGACUAAGCUAAGUCCUGAUAUAAGCAUGAUAAAGUGUAAGAUAAUCAUAACUAAGUCAAGGUACAGAAUCAAACCUAAAUAAUCUCCAUCAUAACUGUAUAUAAUAAUUGUUCAUAUCAAACUAAUAGUAUAACAUAAGACAUCAUCACAUGCCAAUAUCACUGUACGUAGAAAGCAAUAAAUAACGGAAUAACAAUAUAUCAUAAGGCAUCAACACAUACCAAUAUCGUCAUACAUAAGAAUCAAAUAGUUUAAAAUCAUAACACGUUAUAACAUUAACAUAAGCAUUCACAAGUACAAAGUUAUCACCCAUAAACCAACUGUGAAUAAAGUAAAGAACUCAUCACCACAUCCCAUACCACUAGAGAGUACACCCAAGAGAAUCAUAAAGGAAUCAAGCCAACAAUAUAUCCAAACUUCUUCAUUAUUCCAUAGUUUUCCACAAUUUUCAUCAAUCAACCAUUUACCAACAUUCACAAUGAUCAUCCAUAUUCAUAAUUAAACAACAUGUACCAAAGACUCAUAACUAUAAUAAUAAUAAUAAUACCAGCUAACAACUAUAUCAUUGAUAUGUACUAAUAGAUCCUUCUUAGCUAGCCAACGUUUAUAACUAAUCUAAUUACUCACUAGUCAUCAUAUAACCUUAAAUUAUUAUCUAUCCACUAUUCAUCAUAUAAUCACUAUUCAUGGGUCAAUGACUAACCAUUAUUUACUAACUAACCAAUAUCUAGCACCUACCCAAGAUUCACCGCUAGACCAUAUUCAUCCAUAAACCAAUACUUAUUUCUAGCCAUCAUAAUUCCAUUAGUCCCCAUUUAUCAAAUGGACUCUUAUCACAAUUUAUUCACUAAUCAUCUAUUAUCUAACAUCUAUUAUUAACAAGCAUUAUUAAUCUAUAAAUUCCCGUUUAACCACUAAACAACAACAUAGACUUAGUCAUUAAUAGAAACUAAUCAUCACCUUCACUAAACCCAUUAUCAGUAACCUCCAUAACAAAAUAAACAUCACUAUUAAUAGCUAUCGGUGCCACUAGUCCUCUUCGUCACUAAGGUUCACUAAUCCAUUAUUCAUAAUUAGCCACCUAAGCAAUAUCGACCAUAAAUCAUCUUUUAAGCCUUAAGUUAACAUCUAUACCACUUCAUACCUUAAAUUAUUAGAAGACUAUAACUGGCCACUCUAAUGUCAACAUUAUACCCAACUACACAAGAGUAGAAAUAAACACAUAAUUGCCAUACAUAGGGCUAGCCUAGAUCAAACCGGUAGAUAUACACAUAAGCAUAUCAAUAAUUAUCCUCGGUCUUGCCGGGUAUCGUCAUAUCAUCAUAGUAUCCUUCGUCCUUGCCGGGUAUCAUUAUAUCAUUAUAGUAUUCUUUGGCCUUACCGAGCAUCAUCAUAUCAUUAUAGUAUCCUCCAGCUUUGCUAGGUAUCAUCAUAUCAUCAUAGUAUCCUCUAGCCUUGUUGGGUAUCAUCAUAUUAUCAUAGCAUCCCCCGACCUUUCCGGGUAUCAUCAUAUCAUUAUAGUAUUCUUUGACCUUGUCGGGUAUCAUCAAAGUUUUCUUCGGCCUUGUCGGGUAUCAUCAUAGUAUUCUCCGGCCUUGCUGGGUAUUAUUAUAAUAUCCUAUGGCCUUAUUGGAUAUCAUCAUAUCGUUAUAUUAUCCUCCAACCUUGCUGGGUAUCAUUAUAGUAUCACAAUAUAUAAAUUAAUAUCAUUAAUAAAUGAUAAACCCCAUAAGGGCUAAAGUAAAUUGCAAGCCCCACGAGGGCUAAAGUAAAUGACAUGCUAUACGAGGGCUAAAGUAAAUAUAUAUAAAGGAGAAGUGAAGAAAAUCAUACCUCCAUAAUCCAAUGCUCAUCAUCAAUUUCACUUUAUCAAUAAAUAUAUGUAUAUGUAACAUGAAUAAUAUAAACUACCGUUGGGUUUUCCCUAAAAAUUAUAUCUUCAACACCAAUAUCUUCUUUGUACCAUACCAGAGAGAUAUAAUAAGUUGAAAAAGUAUUAACAUAAUUAGUCAUAUAAUGAGGAAUCAUAAGUCCAAGAAUGAUCUAUAGAAUAACUCUACAUAUAAUCAACAAGCAUGCCUUCAAGCACCAUUAACAUUAUCAUCUCCAAUAUCGACAAUAGGGAAGAUUGUCAAUGUGAUUAUUAACAUAAUUACUAAGAAUGAUCAUAAGAUGAGCCACAACAUAGUUAAUGGACCAGGGACUAGCCUAAUCAAUGGCUUAAUCAAUGAUGUAGACAUGGCUUAAACAAAAGUAUCAUCAAGGGCUUGUCAUUACAUACUCUAUAAUCUAAUCAUUUAGAGCACAAGCAUAACCAUGAGCAAUAUUAUAAACAAUGGUCCAUUAUUAGCAUAUUUAUUGGCCUAUCAUUGGUCUAAAGAUAGUUUAUCAAUAGUGUAAGCAAUAUCUAAAUCGAGGCAUAAUCUAUAUCUUAUUCAUAGCAGGGUUAAUAACACCAUUUAUGGCUUAGGCCAUAUCAUAGUCAAGGGCUCAUUCAAUAGCAUAUUCGUUAGCCCAAACAAUAGUCAAUCACAAUAAAAUAAUUAAUAGCUCAACAUAAGCUUUAGCCAAUAAGACAUUCAAGGGCAUAAUCACUUGGGCAUUACUUUCAAUGCCAUUCCUCAUAACCAACAAGUACCAACAGUCACCAAUAUUUCCUAAAAAGGGCACUCUCUAGUCAAUUAUUAAGUGUAAGAACUCAAGAGAACUAACCAUAAGUCUUGCCUUAAGGUGGGUCAACGAGCCCACUUCUAAAUUCCCGAAAUGCAUUCUAAGUUAAUUUCUACCCCGGACUAGGCUGAGGUAUCUAAAUCAACUCUUAGAUAUAUAGCAAGCCACCAUAAUCCCUAAGGUAGAUAUUUUAUUCAAGUACUUUUACUAAGUCUAAUGGAACUAAGGCAACCUUUUCUAGUAUAAGCAACUAAGGCCAAUUUACUCUAAGUAUGAGAAACUAGAGCAUUUUACCUAAGGUUGAGUAUUCUAAGGCAUUCUCAUGCUAAGCAUGAGUAAUGAAGUCUAUUCCAUCUAAGAUAAUAAGAAACAAGUCAAGCUUUUACAACUCUAAGAUUCACAUAGUCUAAAUGAUCCAAAUAACCCAAGUCUUGCAUCUCAUUAAUACAAUUCUUAGAGUCCAUCCCAAUCUAACAAGAUAUUACAAUUAUACUAUGACAUAGCUCAAUCUAACAAGGAAUAAGCCUAGCUGCCUCAAAUUUGAUGAAUACUCAACAAUCCGCUAAACCUCCACUUUUUCCUUUUGAGAAGCUUAUUCAAGGUGUCAAGCAAUUAAAAACACAUUUUACAUAGCCUUACGUGAAUAUUGAUACCUAUAUUGCACCAUUAUGCUUUGGAUCCAAAAACAACACUAAAAAUCCUAGUUGGGUCCCACUUAUGGAAAAUAUAUUUUCGAGGUCAACCCAAUGUUCAUACACCAUCAAGGAAUCAUAACAUCAAGAAAUAGGUGAAAUCUAAGCUUAUUUGGGGCUAAAUCAAGCCUCUAAGCUAUUUGGGGUUUUAGUCAAGAAUUCAAGCAUGAAAUGGAAGGAUUCAUAGCUCAAAUCCAUUUUUAAUAAUAGAAAUAUAUGUUUACUAAGCUCCCAAGAACUCCCAAGACUAAAUUAGAGUUAAGCACACCAUUUUAGGGUUCCUUGGUCUAAAAAAUGAGUGAAAAUACCUAAAAACAUGGCCUAAAAGCCAUUUAAAUACCCUUCCCAAACAAAGAGAUAUCGUGAUCGCUGUCCAUGGACCAUGAUCAUAGUAAGGUGAUCACGAUUCAUGCUUGUGCUAUUGUGGCAUCUUCACCUUGCACUAGGUUUCAGUUGAAACUUGGAAGAAAUUCCAAGUUUCGGCCAAUGCCCCGGGAUUCAUUCAAAAUUCCAUAUAUAUAAAUGAGCUAUGUAACCACACAAAUUUCAACGUUAUGGAUGCUUUGGCAAAGUUGGAUUCUCCAUCUGAGGUUAUUUCGACCAAAUGUGGGUUCCAAACUCGAAUUUCAAAUUUUCCCACUUUUUGGCUGAUAGGUCAAAAUGAGCUAGGGUGCAUUAGGACCCAAACCAAAGGUUUACUUAGUCUAAAAUCGAUAUUCCAGAGUUGCUAGUGCAGUCAAAAUUUGCAUUCAAGAUUAUUUUAUUGAUGUUUUUGCUCGGUGGCCAUUUAAAAUAGGCAAAGACUUCUAAAUAGAUAAUUGACUCUAAACACUAAAUAAAAUUCCUUGUAACCAAACUAUCACUUCCAGUAAGUCAUAAAUGACUUGAGGAAGCUAUCGAAAACCGCACAUGGUGAACUAAGAAGAAACAAUGACCUAAAGGGUCAUUAUAAUUGAUGUGUGAGCAAAAGCUAACAAAUUUAAUGCUUUUUAGCUCAAAAUAAUUGUGAAUUUUGAAGCAAAUCUUAUUUUUUUGAUGUGUUUGCUCAUGAUAUUAUAGUAAAAGGUUGAAGGAGUAAGAACCAAUGACAAUGGAGCAAAAGAGUUGAAAAACUGAGCAAAAGAGAAGAAAUCAUGGCUGACAACCUCCGUGAUACGUCGUCAGCCUUGUGAUAGCUUAUCAUCAUUGGCAUCAACAUUAAACAAAACUUGAAGCCUGAGUAGAAGUUUUGACGACGUUGGUGAUAAUGCGUCAAGUUGGUGAUAAGACGUCACGACGGACGUCAGCUUAAACCAGAGAAUUGAGUUCGAAGAAAAAAUCUGACGACGUUGGUGAUAUGCCAUCAUAUCAGUGAUGCGACGUCAGCUAUAUCGUCAGCCUAAGAUAGAUUUUAAAGGCAACUGAAGCAUUCUGAUGCCAUCUGUGAUAGGUCAUCAGACUCUUGACGCGACGUCAGCUUGGGCGUCACCUAUUCUGAGAAUUUUAUUAAGUUUUGUUAUUUUAUUUUCUUAAUUAGGAUUUAGUAUAAAUAGCAUCUUUUACAGUUUCAUUCACAACUACGGAAGCAGCUUUUGACAUCUUGUAACUUAGUAAAGGGGAGUUCACUUGUUUUUGCCUCUCUUAACUUAGAAUUCAAUUUUCCAUCCUUUGAUUUAGUUGUGGUAAAUUCUUAUUGUACUUGAAGGAGAAACAACUUUAAAUUUCAUCUUUUGUAAGUUCACUUGCUUUAAGUUAUGAAUUUAAUCUUUGUUAUCUCUUUCUAUCUUAUGAGCAACUAAAAUCCACAACUAGGGUUGUGGGAUCUAUGAUUAUUAUUUUAUUGAUUUAAUAGUUGAUUAGGGUUUAAGUGAUUGUGGGAACGUCUUGAAAUUCUGUUAUUUUAACUUGAAUCUAUUGGUUGCAAAAAUUAGGUUAUGCCUUAGGUUUUAUUUGCUUCUAACAGAGAAAUAUACUAGAGGUCGUGAAUUAUCCAUAGGGACUUGAAAGCUACCAACCUUCUGUUUAAUGAUUGAUGCCGUAACUGGAUCAAUCUACCAGAGAUAACAUCCGGUUGGAAAUAGACAUGUUAUCUAAGUUCGAGAGAAUUAGAUAAUAAAUUAUCUGGUGAGGUCGAGAGAUAAGUCAGAUUGUAUCAUCGGUAGGGAUAAUCUGCUGUUCCCACCUAUUACGAGAAUCAUGAACAAUUAUUAUUCAAUGGAGAUUAAUAGUCAUGGUGAUCACAACCCUAGUUUCUCUAUAUCAUUGAUUUGAAAUAUUGAAAUCUAAGUUUUGAGUUAUAAAAUAAGUUGAAAUGCUAAAAUUUGUUUGAUUGAUAAAAACCCCUAUUUUGUCCUUUUCUUAUUAUGUAUUUGAAUUUGACUUGUAUCUAUAAUUUUGAACUAGUUUAAUCGCCACUCACAUUGUUCCCUGUGGAUUCGAUCCUGACUCCGAAGUUGGGUAAAUAUAUUGACGACGAUCGCCUUGCACUUAUUUGAGGUGUAAUUUGAGCGUUAUAAAAAAUGGCACCGUUGCAGGGGAACAAUUUAGCGUAUUGAGUUAGUUUGGAAUUUUAGCUUACUUGAUUGAAUUCAAACUUGUAAAUAUUUGUUUGUGAUUUCCUUUGUUUUUUGUGUUAGGCAGAUUUUAUUUAUUUUUUAUUAUUUCUUACUAUGGCAUCAUGGAAUGAAUGUGAGUUUGAUGGUUGGAAAUCUUAUCUGGAUGAUUCAUGUUCAUAUUUUGAUUGACCCCACUUUUGCCAUAACUGUAGAGAUACUCCCCGGAGAGAAAUGUGUGCACCAUCUCCAUCCUACCGGGAGUAUAAUUGUUCUUUAUGUAGUGGUCAAGAUGGACAUUAGAUUGAUUUCUCAAAUUCCCCCUUCCCCUAUUGCGCUAACCCAAGUUCUAGUUCUUCUUAUGAGUAUGACAGUUCUUAUGGUCAACAAAAGGAAGAACGCAACACUAGAAAGAGUGACAUUAAAGCUAUGCUUCAACUAAUGUUGGAUCCUAUAGAUACAAUAAAUGAUACCAUAUGUGAAAUACGUUAAGACAUUAGGGUAUUUAAUGAGGGAAGAGAAAGGAUAGAAGAGAUGGAUAUUGAGGUUAAUCAUCCAAAACACUUUUCUACAUUAUAUUUAGAUGAUAUCUUGUCUGUGGAAUCAUUUAAAAUAAUAAAAGUGUGUGACAAUGAAGAUCAUGAUUCCUAUACUGAUGAUGAGCUUGAUGUUGAUCAAUCCUUAGUGAUUUCCCAACCAACCGAGCCAACCAUGAGGGAUAAUGCCAAGAUUGAGGGAAUGGUUCUAGAGGCAAAAGAAGAAGCCAAGCCAAUCCUUAUAAAGACUCUAGCCCAAUUCAAAGUAAAAUGUUGAAAAGAUGAAUAAAAGUGAGUGUGUAGAGGAUAGUGUAAACUUUGAAGUAGGAUUGUUGGGCCACACUUGAAGCAUUUUUCCACAUUAUGUUUAGAUGAUAUCUUAUUUGUGGAAUCAUCUAACAAGUGGAAUAUUGUGAAGAUGAGGAACAAGAAUCCUAUAUUCUUUAUUUUACACUUGAAAAGCAACACAAAAACACACCUCACUUUAAAGCUGAGUUGUUUACCAUGCAUCAUCCAUUACUCAGCUUCUUAAUCUUUGUACCAUCUCCCUAUGAUCAAGGCAAGAAGAUGGACUCUAAGUUGGGGGUGAAAUUCAUAUCCUCAAGGUGAAGGAAAAAGAAGAGUUGGGUCAUGCCGCGACGUUAAACUAGGCGCUUCUUGGGAGGCAACCCAAGGUAUUUUGUUGUUUGUAUUCAUAUUAUGUGAUUUAUAUCAGAUCUUCGCACCCAUGGUGCCACAGGUAUGUUUCUAACUCUCUUGCUUUGAUUUGACGUAUUGGGAACAAUGCAUGAUAUUAAGUUAAGGGUGGGGCUACUUGUGGGUGUUGAUGUCCUCCCGGGGUUUUCGUUGCCGUGCCUCUUUUUCCCAGAGUCUUUUUCCUAGUAAAGCCGGCAUGUUUAGGCGUAUUGUGUUUUGUUUUGUGAUGUGUUGUGGUUAAUUGGGAGAAAAUAAGUAUCUAGGAUAGUUGACAUAUUUUUGUUGAUUUUUGAGACUGAUAAACACCUCUUCGUUGGUCUGUUAUAACUGUGUGAUAUAAAUUUAUGUGUCACCACUGUGCAUCUUGUUAUGGCAUUAGUACUAGUGACAUGAUAUCCACUGCUAAACAAUCGCAUGAACCGGAUAGGUAGUAGCUUAUGAUGCACCUUUGUGCCAUGUGUGUGUGAGAUACUACUUAGUUCCCUUUGUGUGUUAAAUCCAGAACUUGCCCGGUUAGUCUUACUUUGGUUGAAAGAUAGGGGUUAGGAAAGGAUCAUAGGUCGUUGUUGAUGUUAGUCCACUUUUAGCCUAAAUGACUUUCCCUAUUAUGCAUGAUAUCUCUUGAUCCCUCUUUUGAGCCUAAAUUGACCAUUUCUUUCUAUGAAAACUAUCACCUUCCCAUUUAUAUCAUAAUGAACCUGUUUUGGCCCUAGUCCUCCUUGGAUACUGUGCACCUUGACUUAGGCAAACAACCUAAGUUGAGGGUGGCUAUCAUAGGGGUGCGUGAUAUAAAAUGAGUAUAAAGAAUGGUAGAAUAAAAGAAAAAAGAAUAAAAAGUAGGGUUCUGUGGAAAAAGAAUAAGAAAAGAAUAGUUGUGAAAAAAAAAGAAUAAGAAAAGCCACAUCCAUCCUGAAUAAUGUGUGAUCAAGAAAAGGAGAAAAAGAAGAGAAAGGUUAAUAAGUGAACCCCAAACGUUAAGGUAGUGCCAAGGACGAUUAGUUACUCUAAAUGCAAUUGAAUAUCAUACCAGCCCUUAGCCUACAUUACAAGCAGAAGAAAAGACCUAUAAUGAUCCUAACUUACCUGUCUGGACACCUUGGUAAUGAAAAUAAGGGCAAGCAUAUGGUAUUUGACAUGCAUUGAUUGGAAUUUCUUUUUGAGAGUGGGUGUCUCUUGACCAUCCCCGCAUUGACAUGCUUGAGUUCAUAUAUGAGUGACGAGGGACUUCUUUGUUGUAAGGGCACAUCGGUUGCAUUGCUAGCUGUUUACUUAUUUGGGUAGUGUAACUUGUACAUAUUUAUGGUUAUUGUUGCUGAAUUGAUGCCAUAUCUUGAUUCCUUUGGGUCACAUUGUUAAUCUUCAUGGAUAUGCACAAUUGGAUUGAACAUGGAGAGUGGCAUGAGUUUUGAGCUAAACUUGAUAAUCAACUAUGAUAGGUAUCUUAUGUAUCUCUUGGUUAAGCAUCGCAGUAUGGUGUUAUAUAGUUGCUUGAAGACAAGCAAUUGUUUUUAAAAUAAUUGUGAAUUCUGAAGCAACUCUUAUUGUUUUGAUGUGUUUGCUAAUGAUAUUGCAGUAAAAGGCUAAAGGAAUAAAAACAAAUGACAAUAGAGCAAAAGAGUUGAAAAUCUGAGCAAAAUAGAAGAAAUCAUGGAUGACGACCUCUAUGAUACGUCGUCAGCCUUGUAAUAGCUUAUCAGCAUUGGCGUCAACCUUAACCAGAAACUUGAAGCCUGAGAAGAAGUUCUGACGAACAUUGGUGAUAAGGUGUCAAGUUGGUGAUAAGGCAUCACGAAGGGCGUUAGCUUAAACCAGAGAAUUGAGUUCGAAGAAGAAAUCUGACGACGUUGGUGAUAUGCCGUCAGAUCGGUGAUGCGGUGCUAGCUACAUCGUCAGCCUAAGACAGAUUUUGAAGGCAACUGAAGCAUUCUGACGCCAUCCGUGAUAGGGCGUCAGACUCUUAACGCGGCGUCAGCUUGGGCAUCACCUAUUCCGAUAAUUUUAUUAAGUUUUGUUAUUUUAUUUCCUUAAUUAGGCUUUAGUAUAAAUAACAUCUUUUAGGGUUUCAUUCAUAACUGCUGAAGCGGCUUUUGACAUCUUGUAACUUAGUAAAGGGGAGUUCACUUGUUUUUGACUCUCUUAACUUAGAAUUCAAUUUUCCAUCCUUUGAUUUAGUUGUGGGAAAUUCUUACUGUACUUGAAGGAGAAACAACUUUAAAUUUUAUCUUUUGUAAGUUCACUUGCUUUACGUUAUGAAUUUAAUCUUUGUUAUCUCUUUCUAUCUUAUGAGCAACUAAAACCCACAACUAGGGUUGUGGGAUCUAUGAUUAUUAUUUCAUUGAAUUAAUAGUUGGAUUAGGGUUUGAGUGAUUGUGGGAACAUCUUGAAAUUUUGUUGUUUUAACUUGAAUCUAUUGGUUGCAAAAAUUAGGUUAUGCCUUAGGUUUUAUUUGCUUCUAACGGAGAAAUUGACUAGAGGUCGUGAAUUAUCAAUAGGGACUUGGAAGCUACCAACCUUCUGUUUAAUAAUUGAUGCCGUAACUGGAUCAAUCUACCUGAGAUAACAUCCGGUUGGAAAUAGAUAUGUUAUCUAAGUUCGAGAGAAUUAGAUAGUAAAUUGUCUGGUGAGGUCAAGAGAUAAGUCAGAUAGUAUCAUCAGCUGGGAUAAUCUGAUGUUCCCACCUAUCACGAGAAUCAUGAACUAUUAUUAUUCAAAGGAGAUUAAUAGUCAUAGUGAUCACAACCUUAGUUUCUCUAUAUCAUUGAUUCGAAAUAUUGAAAUCUAAGUUUUGAGUUCUAAAAUAAGUUGAAAUGCUAAAAUUUGUUUGAUUGAUAAAAGCCUCUAUUUUGUCCUUUCCUUAUUAUGCAUUUGAAUUUAACUUGUAGCUAUAGUUUCGAACUAGUUUAAUCGCCACUCACAUUGUUCCCUGUGGAUUCGACCCCGACUCCAAAGUUGGGUAAAUAUAUUGACAACGACCGCCUUGCACUUAUUUGAGGUGUAAGUUGAGCGUUAUUAAUAAUAUCCACUACUAAUGAAACUUUCGUAACCGAAAGUUAAGAACUAGGAUAUACUAGAAGUCUUGAACAGGUGAGGAUAUUGGGACAACAUCUCGCUCUAAUCUCCGAAGUGGCCUCUUCCACUGGGUGGUGUCUCUACUGAACCUCAAUAAUCAGAAUCUCUCUGAUGCGCAAUCUUCUCACAUAACUAACCAAAAUGAUCACAUGCUUCUCAACAAUGGUCAAAAUCUCAUCCAACUAAACCGAUUCCCAUCUAAGCAUAUGAAAAGAAUUAGGACUAAAUGGCCACAACUUAGAGCCAUGGAAAACCAGAUGAAAAGUAGCAAAAUCCGGAGGUAAAGCUAACUUUUAAGCUACCUUUCCAACUAGUUAAAGAAUCUCAAAGAGGCCAAUACAUCUCUGACUGAGCUUACCCUUCCUCCAAAACCUCAUCACACCCUUCCUGGCCAAAAUAUGGAGGAACAUAUGAUAACCAAUUGCAAAUCUCAAGGCAUAGAGCCGAUGAUCUGCAUAGGCCUUCUGCCUACUAUAAGCUGCUUUCGACCUAUCCUAAAUCACCCUGACUAUCCAAUGAGUCCUAAAGUAAACCUGAACCUCGGGGCCUAACCUCAUAAGUCUCAGCCAUCCAACUGGAGAAUGACAUCUCCUACCAUACAAAGCCACAAUACAUCUUAGGAAACACGACUACACCCUGAAGCUAGUUAAACAAAUCAUCAAUGUGAGGCAUAGGAUAAAUGGUUCUUCACUGUCACCUUAUUAAGGUACUUAUAAUCGAUACACAAACGCAUACAACCAUCUUUAUUCUUCACAAAUAGUACAGGAGCACCUCAGAGGGACACUCUCAAUCUAAUAAAACCCUUAUCGAAAAAUUCCAAAAGUUAAUAAUUUAGCUCCUUAACCUCAGUAAGAGCCAUAUGGUAAGGUGCUAUAGAAAUAGGUCGGGUGCCAGGCUCGGGGUUAAUAGCAAAUCAAUCUCAUAGAUGGGGGGAAUACCAGGCAAGUCGGGUGGGAACACAUUUGGAAACUCACAAACAAUAAGCAUAGAGUCAAGCGACGGACUCUCCGUAGGAGUGUCAUAAUACAAUGGAGAUAAGAUUCGCAACCCCUCAAAAUAAGUCUACUAGCACACGCAUAAGAGAUAAUCCCCAUCAGCUUAUGGAUAACAACUCUCUGCUAUACGACUGGGGGUACGUUAGGUAUGGAUAAGCUAACAGUCUUGACAAAAUAGUUCAUGACCACAUAGUAGUGUGAUAACAAGUCUAUGCCCAGAAUCACAUCAAAAUCUAGCAUAUCCAGAAUAAUAAGAUCAACAUAAGUAUUAAUAUCACUAACAGUCACUAAACAUGAUUUGAAUACUCGAUCCAUUACUAAAGAAUUACCAUGGAAGUAGAUACGCGCAAUGACACAGAUAAUGAAUCAUAAGAUAACUCUAACAAUGGUACAUAAUAAGCAAAGAUAUAAAAAUAAGUGGAUCUCGAAUCAAAUAAAGCAAGGGUCAACUAGCGACACACCAAAAUCACAGCUGUAACUAUUGUAUCCAAAGUCUAAGUUUUGGGUCUUGCAGGUACUGCAUAUAACAGACCACGCCUGCCACUUGGCUGGGAACCUAAUCGACCUUCUUUCCUACCUAUUUGAGAAUCUCCUCAAGUACCCUAAAAACCACCCCUACGACCAUGAUAACCAACUCUAGCUGAGGGGUGAACUGCUCUAAGCUGAAUCAACCAUUGCCGCACGACUAGGGCAAUCCCAUAAAUAGUGACCAGGAAGUCCACAUGUAUAAUAGUAAUAUGAGCAGAACUAGAACCAAUAGAUUUGAAUAUCCCAAAAUAACCACCAUAUCUGGAUAGACAAGAAAAUAAACCCCUCGAAGAUUGACCACUGCCCUUUUUUGGGAAAUAUCAAGCACUAGAAUGACCUUCGUCAGUAAUCUAAGGGCUGCCUGAAUAGGUCAAUUUGACUGACUUUAAGGAUGAAAAGAUGGACACAAAGGAUACCUACUCUGGGUAGACAUAUGAAUGGAAAUCCUCAACCCUCUGCAGAGUAGCAAACUCUCUCACACUCAACAACCGUCUUAGAGUCCUGCUAUAAUCUUGAGAGCUGACCUCUCAAUCGAUCACUAAAGUUGUAUGGCAUAUACUUCUCCAAGAACAUCUCAAAGAACUGAGUCCAUGGCAAAGAGAGAAGAUCCAACUGGUCUAGAAUUCAUAUAACCUCUCCACCAAUGAUGAGCAAACAAGUCUAAUUGAAAUAUAUUGUAAUCUAUAGAAUGAUCCUCAAUAAGUCCUAAACCACAAAGACUGCACUCACAAGCAGUUAGGAGCUCAUGUGCAUCCUCUCCAGGAGCACCAAAAAAUGUUGGUGGAUCUAACCUCAGGUAGUUUUCUAACAUUUUUUGCUCCUCAAAAAACAUUACAGGCUAAGCAACCACUACUGGGCAACUACCAACUUAGAAGACAUAAAUAUUUGGAUAAAAUCCUAGGUUAUCUGGUGUUCAUAACCUACCAUCUCUGAAGAAUUUAGCUACCAUGACAACUCCAUAAACCAAUAAAUUAAGAAAAUUUUAUAACUCAAGUUUGAGAAUCAUGAAUUAUAUAAUAUAAUGAAGGAUUGCAAUUUUAGAUAUGCAAUGAUACAUGGGCUUAUAUAUCAAUAAUAACAAAAAAUAGAAUUAUAAAGAUAUUCAAAAUAUUCAUGAAUGCUAGGCUCUAUGGAAGGAAUUAAACUAAGGAUUUGAGUUAACAUUAGGACUCAAUGUGUGAAAACAAAACCCAUUGGUGAAACCCAUGUACCUAAAGAUAGAAACCUUGAAGAAUUUCUUGAAAUUAGGGCCUAAAAGUAAAAAUCCAUAGUUUUUGCAUUUUGGGAGAAAAUCAUUUCUUUUUUUUUAUUUCUAAUUAAGUGUAGUUUGUUUUUAAGUGAUUGAGAGGAUUAGGGUGAUAUUAAUCUUAAUAACCAGACUUGUACUAGAUUAAAAGACACAGUUUUAGUGUUACAUGAGUGAAAAAGACCAAACAACCUUUUUAAAAUCAUCUAAGAAGUAGCUGGUAUCAGUCCUAAGGACUCACAUGACAACUCAUAGGGUCUGGUUAUGAGUUAUGGCCUGAUUCAUUGCCUAGGACUUGAUUUUUGCUUUCCUUAUCAUUUACAAUGAGUCACCUUAUGACUCAUAAGUAUACCAAUAACUUAUAGUGUUUGAACCAUUGUCACUGACAACUUUAAUAGUGCUUUAGUAAAAUGGCCAUAAUUUUUUACUCCGAUACCAAAUUAAUGAGAAAUUAGAUGCGUUGGAAAGAAGACUCAAAAACUAUUAUUUUGAUGGGUAUUGAGAUAAAAAUUACUUUUAAAUCUAGAAGUUAUGAUCAUUUAAGUUUGACUAUUAAAAGAUUUGUCAUAAGAAAUUCAUCGGUAAGGGAGGUCUCAAAUUGGCUAUGAGCUAGGAGUUAUUUGAGGCCUUAAUACUUGUCUAAAUCAGUUGUCAUACUACCAAAAUGUGAUUUUUGGUCCUAUACGUACUUAAAUCAUGAUUUUAAUCUUAGAUUGGAUUCUUGAGGUGUUACAAUAUCUCCUCCUUAGGGCUAUUCAUCCCCGAAUAUAUACUGACUAAGAUGGAGAACAAGGGAAAGAGCUACAAUCCCAACACUGAAUUUGUAUGAAUUGAAUAUUGACAUGAAAACUAAGUUUAUAAAUAAAACACAGAUUGAACUAAACUAGUGAAUGCAUGAUAUGGCAUAUAAAUAACUGAGUGACAUAAGACAAAGAAUUAAUUAAAGAGAAACUAUUAACUCAAGCUGAAACAUAAUUCAAACAGAAAUUAUGGGGGUACUUGGUCAUCAUAUCUGUGUUUGCUUCCCAAGAAGAUCCCUCAACUAGUUUAUCAACUUACGACCUUGAUGAUCAAGAAUCUCAACUGGGACUUCCUUAUAAGAUAGGCUAUCUUUCAUACCUGUACUAUCUAAAGUCACAACCGAUGCCGGAUCACUAAUGUAUUUCUUUAACUGAGACACACAACAAAUUGGAUGCAUUGAUGCUAAGUCUGUGGGCAAAGCUAACUCAUAUGCCAUAUUGCCAAACUGAUCCACCAGUAUAGUAGGGAGUGAUUUUCCCUUUCUUACCAAAUCUCUUCACCCUUUUCAUGGUGAAAUUUUUCAAUAGAUAAAAUUACGAAUAGGGAACUCAAGUUCCCCUCCUCCUUACAUAUGAAUAGGAUUUCUAAUGACUCUAAGGUAUUUUUAGUCUCUCUCUAAUCAGCUGAACUUUCUCUAUAAUCUCAUGAAUUAAUCUUACCCUAUUGAGGUAGGUUCACCAACUUCAAACCAACCAAUAGUAAAUCUACAUCUCCUACCAUAAAUUUCUUCAAACAAGGUUAUCUAAAUACUAAAGGGCUAGCUAUUAUUAUAAGCAAACUAAAUUAAAGGAAAAUGAACAUACCAACUACCCUUGAAAUCAAUCCUCCAAAUUCUAAAUUGUUCGCUCUGCCUGGCCAUCUGUCUACGAAUAAAAAGCCAUACUAAAAUGAAAUUGGGUACCAAGACCCUUCUGAAAUGUCUUCCAAAACUAAGAGGUAAAUUGAGUACCUCUAUUUGAGUUGAUAGUCAGAGGAACUCCAUGCAAUUUCACCAAAUCUCCAAGGUAGAGUCUAGAAUAAUACUCGACUAAGUUUGAAGUAUUAACUAGUAAAAAAUAAGCUGACUUGGUUAUUCGAUCUACAAUAACCUAAAUUGAAUCACGAUGUCAGUGAGUACGAGGCAAUGCUAUAAUAAAGUUUAUAUUCACCACUUUCUACUUCCAAGUAGAAAUACUAAUAUCUUGAAUCAUACCACUAGGUCUUUGGUGCUCAACCACUAGCUAUUUGGACACUUAGCCAAAAAUUUUACGUUAUCCUUCUUCAUGCCAUUCCAUCAAUAAACUUUCCAUAGAUCGUGGUACAUCCUAGUAGCUCCUGGGUGAAUAGAAUAUCAAGAACUUUGAGCUUAUAUUAGCAUCCUCUAUCUCAAGUCAUCCACACUUGGAACACAUAAUAUGCCUUGACAACGAAGAACGCCAUCUCCCCCUUAAGAGAAACCUUAACUUUCCGACUUUGAACAACCUCUUUUAUCUUAACGAAAAUAGGAUCACUAUCUUGUUUUUUCUUUUACCUCGACUAUCAAAGAGGAUUUUGAACCAUUUUGAAUCAAGACACUACCUUUGGAUGAAUCACCCAACUGAACUCCCAAUCUAGCCUAUAUGUGAACCUCAGGAACUAACUCUUUCUUCCCAUCCUCUACAUGACCAACACUUCUUAUAGAUAACCUACUAAAAGUGCCAACCACUACAUUGUCUUUACCUGAAUGGUAUAAGACACUCAUAUCGUAAUCGUUCAAUGACUCUAUCCAUUUUCUCUGACAAAGAUUUAGAUCUUUCUGGCUGAAUAGAUAUUGAAGGCUAUUUUGAUCUGUGAACACAUCAAUAUAAACCCCAUAAAGAUAGUACCUUAAAAUUUUAAAGGAAAAAAUACUUGUUUCCAACUCAAGAUCAUGAGUCAAGUGAUUCUUUUCAUGAGGUUUGAGCUAUCUAGAGCCAUAUGCUAUAACCUUGCCAUAUUGCAUCAACACACAACCAAGACCAACUCUACAAGCAUCAUAAUAAACCACAAACCUAUCCUAACCCUUAAGUAGAGUCAAAAUUAGCGGAGGUUAGUCCAGUAUUCAACUACUAAAACUUUUCUCAAAAGAAUCAAACCACAAAAACUUGUCAUUUUGCUGAUUCAAUCUAGACAAAGGGAAAAUAUUAAAGUAAAGGCCCUCAAUAAAUCUUCUGUAGUAACCAGCUAAACCCAUAAAACUCUUGAUAUUUGAUGGAGAAACGAGUCUAGGUUAAUUUCUAAUUGCUCUGAUCUUUGGAAAACCAUCCUGAAUGCCCUCACUGAAAAUGGUAUGACCAAGGAAUGCUACUGAUUUUAGCUAGAAUUUACUUAAAGAAUUUAGCAUAUAACUAGUGAUCUUUGAAAUUUUGGAAGACAAUUCUCAAAUGUUUUGUAUGUUCAUCCUCACUCAGAAUAAACAAGGUUACCAUCAAUGAAGAAAGUGACGAACAUGUCCAAGCACUACUUAAAUACCAAGAUCAACAAGUCAAUAAAAGUUGUAGCAGUAUUGAAAGUUGAUAACACAUAAAAAAAAUUAAACCAACCAUACUGAGUUCUGAAUGCUAUCUUCAAAAUGUCUCAUUCUUUGACUCUGAACUAAUGAUAGUCGAAUAUGAGGUAUAUCUUAGAUAACCAAUCGGCACCCUGAAUUUGGUCAAACAAGUUAUUAAUCUUGUGAAUAAGAUAUUUGUUUUUUAUUAUGACUCUGUUCAACAAACAUUUAAUACCCUAUAUUUCCCUAGUCUAGAUUAACUCUCAGUACAUAGGAUUAUCCUAAAUAAUUUUUUUGAUAUACUCAGUAAUUUUUAGAUUUGAGCCUGCUAUUACGUAGAAAAUUCAAUUAGCUUUCCAUCGAUACAAAAUUUGCCCAAAUCUGACCCCCGGGCGAAGAGUUAGAGCUAUUUUAGUGAGACAGUGUAUCACCUGGUACUUUAGUGCCUCACAGAGCCAGCUAAAAUGGAAUUUGUCGAAAACCAGUGAGCCUCCGUGAUAUUGGCGUGUCGUGCCAAGGCUCAAUUUUAGAAUUAUCAAUUUUCAGUGCACAAACGCGAUCCCACUGCAUCGCGAUGCCCUUUAAGUUCGCACCAAGAUGGCAAUGUGAUACUACUGCAUCACGCCACCAACCAGUUUCCCAGUCAUCCGCUUUCCAGUGAGAUGGCGCGAUUCACCGCAUCGUGCCAACAUGUAAAAUUGAGAUUUUUGUUCAGGUUCUGGUACUUAAUUUCAGGGACCAUUUGAUAAUUUCCCAAAGCCCCUAGUCAUCCUAAAUAUGGGAUUUAUACCCUUAAUAGUGAAAAUUUUUUCAUUAUGUUCACUAUUCCUCAAGAACAAAAGCACACUCUCUCAAAUUAGCAAACCCCAGUCUUAAGAAUCAAGCUCAACCCUAAGAAUCUCUCCAAGAACUUCAAGAAACUCACGAAUUAAGGUAUGUUAGAUGUUCAUUAAUGGGUCCUUUCUACCCAUGAAGCCCAAGAAUCUCAUUUCAAAUAUAAAUAUUGUAUAUUUAUUAGUUUUCAUGAUUUGUUUGAAUUGAAGUUCCUGUUCAUAUUGUUAUUGGUUUUAAUUCAUAUUUUAGAUUACAAGUUCCAAGGUUUGAUCCUAGUAUGUGAUGAUUUGCAUGAUGUUCAUAAUAAACCCUUCAAAUUUGCAAGUGGAUUGAUGUAGACAUGAUAAUUUAGAUGUAAUAAUUGUUGUAUGACCAAACCAUGCUCCCCAUAUGUUUGAUAAAAUGCCUAUGUGACUGAAAUAGAGUCAUUAUAGAAUGUUUAUAAGAAACCCUUAUUUAUGUAUAAGUUAAUGCAUGCCAAGUGUUUGAUGAAAGACCUUAUUGAAUAAAUCACGAGACAUUAGUAUGCAUCCCUAUACAUUUACAAGUUUAUGAAUUUCAAGUGCUUGAUGAAAUGCCUCAUUAAUUAUAUUGUGAGUGAUUGACUAUUGUCAUGUUAUUCAAGAAUUUGCCAUGUCUUACUAAUUUUUCUAUCGAGUCCUGGGGGUAUUCAAUACCUGAUAAUUUAGCUGAUUACCUAGAGCCAGUGUCAGUUUCAAGAUAAUCUCAGUCAUGCCAUGAACUCAGUAGAACUCAGUCAGUUAUAGAACUUAGGAAAACUCAGUAGUUUUAGUAUCUGUCCAAUCCAGUUUUAGUAAUCAGUUUGGAAACUCAGUAGCAUUCAGUUAGAUAACAGAAUUCAGUAGUAUUCCGUUAGUCAAUAAAACCCAGUGAACUCAGUUAGAUCAGUUAGGUAACAUGACCAGCAAUAGAUUCAGCCUAGUCUAGAACAGUCUAAAAAUCAGUUCAGUGUCUAUUCAGUUAGGAGUAGGAUUCAGCACCGAGAAAGAGUAGGGAUGUCGGCUUCCCGCUAGUUAGUCUAAGUCAUUAGUAGAAGUCCCUAUACUCCAGAACUACGUAGCCAGUGUAGAUGAGGAGUCACCCAUCAGAUUAAGGCUUGUCUACCUCUUAGGGGUCACCCUUCAGAUCUAGUUUUUAGUAUUACAGUAUUAGUAAGCUCAGAUAAGAGUUAGUAUUCAAAACUCGAUAUCUAGUGUUAGUAUGACCUCAGUUACAGUUUAUGUUUUUAUGUAUGCAUUCUCAUUCAGUAGUCUCAUGUUAUUCAGUCAAUUUUAUGUUCUACAUAUGAACCCUUGCGUUUAGCCUUACCUCAUCUAGCAUACCAAUACAUUCCCUCGUACUGAUGCAUACUUUCUUACGCUAUGGUGUAUUUUACCAUAGGUUCAGACACACUGGCUCCCGAGCACCCUUAGCAGUUCAGAUUCAGCCAGCAGCAGUAGACUUAGCAGUUAGUCUUUAUCUUUCGAGGAUGUUCCUUAUUUUAUUAUUGCAUUUGAUUUUGUAUUCUAGUAGAUGGAGUUAGUUAGAGGAUUGUCCCAUCAACUUUACAGUUCAGACAGAUUAGAGGCUUUUCAGACUAGAGUAUUUUCAGACAGUUGUUUUAGUUUUGGUAUUGUUAUACCUUAUAUAGUUGUAUUUCAAUUUUGAACCUUAUAUCAAGUUUUCCACCAGAUUUCAACAUUUUACACUAUGUUAUUCAGUGCUCAAUUAUAGAUAUUAGUCAUGGGUUAGCUUGUGGUCCUUUGAAAUUAUGAGCACCGUGUAGCGUCCGAAGUUCAGAAUCUGGGAUGUUACAAACUUGGUAUCAAAGCCUAAGAUUUAACAGUGUCCUACAAAGUCUAAAAGCCUCAUCUAGUAAAGUCUUAUGCAUGGGUAUGUAGCGCACCAUACUUAUGGAAAAGAGGCUAUGUGAUAUUUUAGGAACAUUUUCCUUUCUUUAAGUAUGCAUGUCGUGUGAGUGAGAAUGUGCUAUAGUAAAAUGCUCAGUCUAAUCUGCUUCUCUCUUUCAUUACAAAAUAUGCCUCCUCACAGAGAUAAUACCUAUAGAAAUGAUAACCAGCCACCUCAGCCUGCAGAUCCUUUGAAUGAGAAUGUAUCAUAAGCAGAGUUUUGAGCAGAUUUUUAGGUGCUAGACCAAGCUAUGAUAGCUAAUGUUCAGGGUAACCUUCAAGCUGCAGCCCUACCUUAACAAGAUGGGGAUUUAGCUGCAACUAGAAUCAAAGAUUUUAUUAGAAUAAACUCACCAGAAUUCUUUGGGUCAAAGGUAGGUGAGGACCCAUAACUUUUUCUUAAUGAGGUGAAGAAGAUCACACAGAUUAUACAUAUCUCUGAAGAGAAGAGUGUCGAAUGGGUAUCCUAUAGGCUAAAGGAUAUUGCUUAUAUUGGGUAGUGAUAUGAAAGAAGAGUAGAGGGGAGGAUGCAACUCUCAUAACCUGGCAGAUAUUUCAGGAUGAAUUCUUAGACAAGUUUUUUCCACUUAAGAUAAGGGAAACUAAGAUAGAAGAGUUCAUGAACCUGAUGCAGGGCUCUAUAAUAGUGAAGGAGUAUUUCCUUAAGUUCAAAUAGUUGUCUAAGUAUGCCCCUGAUCAGAUAGCUAACCCUAGAUGAAGCAUGAGUAAGUUUGUGAUCGGUGUGUCUGGGUUAGUGGUUAAGGAGUGUAGGACUGCUAUGCUCAAUAAAAACAUGGAUAUUUCUAGAUUGAUGAUGCACGCUCAAAAAAUUAAGGUAGAGAAAGAUAAGGAAAGAUAGAGAGUAAAUAAGAGAGCCAGAAUAGGUAGUUCUAGUUUUUUUCAGCCAGGGUUACUGGUGGUAACCGUUCUCAGCAUAGUUAGAAGUUUUUAGUCCCAGCUCCAUCUUCAGCUAGUGAACUAAUACCAAAGUUUAGGAAUGACACUCAUGAUCGGGAGCCAGUUUUAAAGACCCAGGGUAGUGUGAGAAGUGAUCGUACCUCUGCUUUGUGAAGACUAUGGUAGAAAUUACCUAGGUGUGUAGAGAAAUCAGCGAUGUAUGCUUUGGAUGCGGGUUGUAGGAGUGUAAAAUAAUGAUUCAUAGGGGUAGAUAUUUGCGUUAGCAGGGUGCCACUUCCAAUACCACUGGUGGUCAGCGCCAGAACAGAUUUUAUGCACUCCAGACUUGCCAUGAUUAGAGAAGUUCUCCUAACAUAGAUUCGGGUAUGUUAUGAGUUUUUCAUCUUUAUGAUAUUCUUUGUUAGAUCCUUUGCUCCCAGUUGAGCUUAAGUUUUUAGCACGAGUUAGUCAGUAAGUCCGAUAAUUCAGUUUAACAGUCAAGCAGUCAAAUUCGUAUGUUUGUUUUUUCCCUAUCUUUCAAUCUAGUCAUAUUAUCAAAUAUCUCAGGGAUGUAACUAUUCCCAGAUAGAACAUCCUAGUAGCUGCAAGUUCAACUUAGUUCAUAAAGCAUGCAUUAGCUUCAUAUCCCAUAUAUUAAGUCACAAUUCGGUCCUUAGGUGCCCUAUGCAUCGCCCCAGUAUCUCAGUGAAGUAAGCAUUCUUAGAGGGACAUAGUGUUCCCAAGGGGGAGAUGGUAGAAUAAUUAACCAAGUCAGGCUUUCAUAUUUUAGUAGUGAUAUUAGUAAUGUUAGUACUCAUGCCUUACAUGUCAGUUCUAUAAUCACAGAUCAUAUUCGUGCAUUGUCCCAUGCUUUUUAUCUGUAUCUCUAUCAAGUCAAUACUCUUCGAGGGACACAGUGUCCUAAGGUGGAGCUGCACUAUAACCCUCGAGCUAUUAUCAUCUAAACCUUUCAAUUUCUUUUGGCAUAACAAAUUCAGUUUGAGAUAGUGGGUACUCAUAGUUGACCCUCUAGUUCCAACCUCAGCCAUAAACUAUGUACUCAAGGGCUCAGUUCAGUUCACGAUAUUUCAUUCGUGUAUCAUGUUUCAGACUCGUUCAUGUUCUCAUGUUCCCGUUCAUACAUGUUCAGUAAAUGAUCUUAGGCUUAUCAGUGUUCUCAGCUUAAGAUUAUAGUCUUCCUUAGAUCUACUCAGUUCCAUGUUCAAUUAUAUCUAUAAUAUUAAGUAUCAAUUAUUGUUGCAUAUUUAGUUAUGCAAUCAUGAAUCAGUUCAUUUAUAUAAUCAUGCAUCAGAUAUGCAUGUUUAGAAUGUAAGUUCAGUUUAUCAGACCAGUCACAUAAUAUUUUUUCAGUUGUGCAUGUCUAGUUCAUUAUGUAAGCUCAGUUUUCCAGUACUCUCUUAUCUUAACCAGCCACAUUCGAGGCCGAAAGUUCCCAAGGUGGAGAUAUUGUAAUACCCCAUAUUUUCGUAGCCUAGAUUAACCCUUAGUAUAUGGGAUUAUCCUAAACAAUUUUUUUGAUAUACUCAGUACUUUUCAAAUUCGAGUAUUAGCUUUCCAUCGAUACCAAAUUUGCCCAAAUUCGACACUUGGGCGAAUAGUUAGAGCCAUUUUAGUGAGAUAAUGUAUCACCUGGUACUUUAGGGUGUCACGGAGCCAGCUAAAAUGGCAUUUUUUGAAAAACAGUGAGCCUCCAUGAUAUUGGCGUGUCGCGCCAAGGCUCAAUUUCAGAAUUGUCAAUUUUCAGUGCACCAACGCAAUCCCACCGCACGCGUUGCUCUUUCAGUUUGCAUCUAAGGUGGAAAUGCGAUACCACCGCGUUGCACCACCAACUAGUUUCCCAGUCUUCCACUUUCCAAUGAGUUGGCAUGAUAUCACCACGUCGUGCCAGCAUGUAAAAUCAGGAUUUUUAUUCAGGUUUUGUUAUUUAAUUUUAGGGACUAUUUGGUAAUUUCCCAAAGCCCCUAGUCAGCCUAAAUACAGGAUUUAUACCCUUAAUAGCCAAAAUUGUUCAUUGUGUUCACAAUUCCUUAAGAACAAAUGCACACUCUCUCAAAUUAGCAAACCCUAGUCUCAAGAAUCAAGGUCAACCCAAAGAAUCUCUCCAAGAACUCUAAGAAACUCACGAAUUAAGGUAUGUUAGAUGUUCAUUCAUGGGUCCCUUCCACCCAUGAAGCCCAAGAAUCUCCUUUCAAAUAUAAAUAUUGUGUAUUUAUGAGUUUUCAUGAUUUGUUUGAAUUUAAGUUCAUGUUUAUGUUAUUUUUUGGUUUUAAUUCACGUUUUAGAUUAUAAGUUCCAAGAUUUGAUCCUAGUAUGUGAUGAUUUGCAUGAUGUUCAUGAUAAACCCUUCAAAUUUGCAAGUGAAUUGAUGUAGCCAUAAUAAUUUAGAUGUAAUGACUGUUGUAUGACCAAAGCAUGCUGCCCAUAUGUUUGAUAAAAUGGCUAUGUGAAUGAAAAGAGUCAUUAUAGCAUGUUGACAAGAAACCCUUAUUUAUGUAUAAGUUAAUGCAUGCCAAGUGUUUGAUGAAAGACCUUAUUGAAUGAAAUAUGAAACAUUAGUAUGCAUCCCUAUACAUUUACAAGUUUAUGAAUUUCAAGUGCUUAAUGAAAUGCCUCAUUGAUUAUAUUGUGAGUGAUUGACUAUUGUCAUGUUAUUUAAGAAUUUGCCAUGUCUUACUAAUUUUUCUAUCGAGUCCUAGGGGUAUUCAAUACCCAACAAUUUAGCUGAUUACCUAGAGCUAGUGUCAGUUUCAAGAUAAUCUCAGUCAUGCCAUGAACUCAGUAGAACUCAGUCAGUUAUAGAACUUAGGAAAACUCAGUAAUUUUAGUAUCUGUCCAAUCCAGUUUCAGUAAUUAGUUCAGAAACUCAGUAGUAUUUAGUCAGAUAAUAAAAUUCAGUAGUAUUCCAUCAGUCAAUGGAACCCAGUGAACUUAGUUAGAUCAGUUAGGUAACAUGAUCAGUAAUAGAUUCAGCCUAAUCUAGUACAAUCGAAGAAUCAGUUCAAUGUCUAUUCAGUUGGGAGUAGGAUUCAGCAUCGAGCGAGAGUAGGGAUGAUGACUUCCCCGUCAGGUAGGUUAAGUCGUUAGUAGCAGUCCCUAUACUCCAGAACUGUGUAGCCAGUGCAGGAUGAGGAGUCACCCAUCAGAUUAAGGCUUGGCUACCUCCCAGGGGUCAUCUAUCAGAUUAUGCUUGACUUCUUAUUCAGGGUCACCCGUCAGCUAGGCUUGACCGCAGUAGUGUCUUUACCCGUGGCAUAGUACUGACACCCUUCCAACUAGGGUUAUAGGUUGGAUCCCAAAUUAGCUAGAGAGGCAUGUUGGUUAGAAGAUUACUUCCCACAUUCUCUGUUUCAGUCUCAGACUUCAGAAUAUAAUUCAGUUUAGAAUUUAAGAAAUCAGGACUGUCAGAUACAAUCACUCAGCUUAGUAAAGAACUUAGAUAGUUCUACAGAUUCAAGACUGUUAGAUACAGUUAAUUAGUAUCAGUAUCAACAGUUUAGGGAUCAUCCGCUAGAUAGGCCUGAUCUCAGGGGUUACCCAUUAGAUAGGAUCGACCCCACAACAAUCAUCAGUAAUUCAGAACUAGUAGAUUCAGUUAUCAGUAUUACAGUACUAGUAAACUCAGAUAACAUUUAAAUAGCAUUUAAAACUCAGUAUCCAUUGUUAGUAUGACCCUAAUUAUAGUUUACAUUUUCAUGCAUGCAUCCUCAUUAAGUAGUCUCAUGUUAUUCAGUCAGUUUUAUGUUCAUGCAUAUGAACCCUUGCAUUCAACUUUACCUGAUAUAGCAUACCAGUAUAUUCCUUCAUACUGACACAUACUUUUUUGCGCUAUGGUGUCUUAUACUAUAGGUUCAGACUACUAGCUCCUGAGCACCCUUAGCAGUUCAGAUUCAGCCAGCAGCAGUAGACUUAGCAGUGAGUCUUUAUCAUUCGAGGAUGUUCCUUAUUUUAUUAUUGCAUUCAAUUUUGUAUUCUAGUAGAUGGAGUUAGUUGGAGGAUUGUCCUAUCAACUCUACAGUUCAGACAGAUUAGAGGCUUUUCAUACUAGAGUAUUUUCAGAUAGUUGUUUUAAUUUUGGUAUUAUUAUACCUUAUAUAGUCGUAUUUCAGUUUGAACCUUAUGGCAAGUUUUCUGCCAGAUUUCUGCAUUUUCCAGUAUGUUAUUCAGUGCUCAGUUACAGAUAUUAGUAAUGGGCUAGCUUGUGGUCCUUCAGGAUUAGUAGCACCGUGUAGCGUCUGGGGUUUAAAAUCCGAGGCAUUACAUGACAGUAGUCAAUGUACAUUCUUAAUUGGUAUCGAGUGUAUCUAUAGUCAACUUCAAAUGAAAUAAUUCUUGGAUUAUGAAAACUUUUGGAGAUCAUGACUUGCCAAAUGAAAGGUCUUUGAGUCUUUUUUCCAACGCAUCUGAUUUUGUCUUAAUCUAUUAUCAGAAUAAAAUGUUAUGACCAUUUUACUAAAACACUGUCAAACUUUCAAAUUUGAUAACCAUACCACGACUGAAACCCCUGAUCUUGGGAUGUGCUCUUCUCAUGUAGUACAAAAUCCUUAAAGCCCCCCUAAAACCCACGAUUAAUACCACAAUUAUGGUGAGAUCAUAGGAGGGUCCAUCCACGGUCGAAAAUUAGAUUUUCAGUAGUAUUUUUAGAGGGGUAUUCAAGUAUUUUUCCAUAAUUUAACCUCCUAAACUACAUCAUUUAAGCUACCCUAUGGCUAAAUAUAAAGCCUAAACAACUCCUAAUGCCUCAUUCUAUUCAUAUCAUAAGAAAAUACUUGGAGAAACAUGAGAAACAAGAGACCUCUCUUCUCCCAAAGUAAGAAAGUAAGGCUCUUCAUCUUCAAUCUCAAAUCCUUUUAACUUUAGUUAAGGAAUCAAAAGUAAUCAAGUAUGUGUGUAUUCAAUAAGUGGUUCCUUUCACCCUUAUGCCUUAAACCUAGUUUCAAAAUAUGAAUUUGAGUUAUGAUUUUUAUGAACUCAUGAUCUAGGGUUCACACCUAAUUAUACCAAAUUCUUGAAAUUAAAUUUCCUCAUGUUAUUUUUUUUUAUUAUGGUUUCCAUUCAAAGUUAUUAUGCAUGAUGUUUGUGGAUUUAACUCAAUUAUUUUAAUACGUGAAUAAUUAUGCAUUUUUUUUAUAGAUUUCAACCUCUUUUAGAAUGAAUUAUGCAUGAUUUGGUGGAUUUCAGUUUAUAUUAGUUUAAUAUGCUAUGUCUUUCCAUGAAAUUUAGUAUCCAUGCAUACUUGUGAUUCAUGACCCCUCAAUACAUUGAGUAAUUCAUGAUUUUGGACUUAUGUUACCUAAUUUCUCAUUAUACUCUAAUUAUAGGAUUUUCGUGAUCAAUAGUAGCAUUCUUCAGAGAUGGUGGGUUAUAAACACUCGAUGACUUAGGAUUUCAUGCAUUGUUUGUUAAAUGCGCAUUCUUUCAAGGUUACAUGAUUUAGAAUGCUUUUGGAUAAAACACAUAUAUAUAGUCUUAGAACUUUAGUGUUAUUGAGCUAUUUAGUAUAUCAACUUAUAUUUAGCUGGGAGUAGUACUUAGCACCAAUAAAACCUAGGGAUGAAGGCUCACUCUCCAGUUAGUCUGAGACCUUUCAUAGAAGUCUCUAAUUCCCAGAACUAUGCGCCACCAUAGGUUCUAAAGGAUUACACUUUAGAUCAGGCUUGAAACCUUAUUCCUUUUUGGACAUUAGUUUAGUGGUACCAUAUUAGAUCAACCAUUAUAUCCUGGCAUGGUAUAUUGGCCCCUUUUCAAUGUGGAUUAUAUAUCGAACUCCUUGUUUAGCUCAUAUGGUUAUAUGUAUGUUAAUAGUAACUCCUAUGGUUCAAACUCAUUUAUAACAUGACUUUGUAUUUAGUUUAUUCAGUAUACUAAUUAGUCACAUAUUUAUUUACUUCGUAAUUGCAUCAGUUUAUAUCUCAUAAUUUUAGAUUUAGUAUUUGUACAUGACCCUCCAUUUAGUUUUACUUGCUUUUAUUCUAUGACUUUUAGAUUAUCACUGCAUAUCAAUAUAUAUAUGCAUGUUAAAUAGGGUACUUAUAUGUCACGCCUAAAAACUUAUGUCAUGAUGACACUUAUCAUGGAUAAUCCUUGAUAAGUAAGUGAAUCACCUGAACUGAUAAGUAAGAACAAAAUAAUACAACAGUUCCCAAGGCGAGACUUCUAUAGCAAAGUCAGGCCCAUACAAGUACAACAAUAGUAGAUGUCUAAAAAUAAAUAUACCAUAAAUAAUCCUAAAACAUGGUGUCACAUUGUAAGAACAAUCUAAAUACAACUCAGAACUAGAGAUACAACUGAAUCAGAAAACUACAAGUCUGUCUCUGAAUACUAAAUAAAGACAUCAAUUAUAUAGGAGGAGGUAUGAUGUCAACUCUAAAGGCAUAUAGCGGCUAAUACUUCAAAAAGGACACUGAUCAACUGCACGAUCUCAGUUGUCGCAUUAUGCACUCGAACCUAGAUCGGGACCAAAAGGACAAGUAGGGAUGAGUACAAUCCACUUGUACUCAGUUGGUAUCAUAGAUUGAUUGAGCAAAGUAGAAAAUACGAUACAUAAAUAAAUAUUAUGAGCACAUCACCUAUAAUUAGAAUAUGUCCCAAAGGUAGCUUAUAAUGUCUCUACUAACAAUUCUAAAUAUAGAAUGUAAACAAAAAAAUAGGUAUGAAAAAGAAACGGAACUGAUAUGCAUAGAAUAAAACAAAAGCACAACACUAAAAAUGUAAACUGCAUGAAAUGUGAUGAUGAUGAUGAUGUGAUAUGAUUGAAGUUAUCACAUAACAUUCGUAUACACAUACCGAGCCUCCACACUUUUAGGUAGAACCUAUGUGGGGUUAUCAACUCAUAUACUUUCUCAGUACUUAACCCUAAUCUCAAUAUCAAUAUCUCCUCUCCAGGUCGUGGACUGUAGUAGAGGGUUUUGAAAAUGUGUCUUAUUUUUGUCAAAAUCGAUGUUUCCUCUAUGGUACCAAUGUCUCAUGAAUCUAUGUAUGAUAUGAAGAUAUAAUUAUCAUAACUAAACCAGUAGAAAGAUGUCAAAUCCAUUCAAUACAUGUACACGUGAGCUCAGAGUCCACUCAAUAUGUCAACCAUUCACGAUUUCGUAUAAGCAAUGUACCAUUAGAAUAAAUAUGCUUGUAAGGCAUCACUAAUAUCAUAUCAACCCUGACUUAGGUGUUUUUAUCAUGAAGAAAGCAACCAAUGAUAGAUAAGGCCUAUAAUUUAAGCUCCACACAGGCAUUAUGUCAACUACAAAGGCAUAAAAUGCAUAAACAAGGCCAAUGAUGUCAGAUAAAGCCCCCACAUGAGCAACACGCAUUAAAUAUCAUCUCAAGUCACCACCACCAACAAUAUAGGCCCCACAUGUGCAUACAAUAGUAAUAAUAGUAUUGAAAUACAGUUACCAUGAUUAUUAACCAUACCCAUGGCAUGAUUUUAUCUACAUCUUAACUAUCCAAUCCACUCUAAAAAAAAUUGAGCCAUAACCUACCUCAUGACGUAAAAAUCCAAGCCUAGCCCUUCAACGUGGAGUUUUCCCCUUUCGAACAGCCUCAGAAUCAACAAAAAUCUACAAAUAUAGAAUCAACGCUUUAAAAGAAGCCAACGAUAUCCAUAUUGCCCACUUUUAAGUCUGGGUCAAAAUGAAUCCCAAAAUGGGUUUUCAAAAUGAAAGGAUAGAAUCAAUAUUUUUGUUUAGAAAAACCUUAUCCCUGAUUAACGAAAGCCAUAGGAGAAAAAGCAAGUAAAAAUGGUUUAUAAAUGAGGUUUAAUCAAAGAAAUCUCUUUUUAAGCCUUUUAGGCCCAAAAAUCCCCAAUUCCCAAUUUGAAAUCAAGAUUUAAAAGAGUUUUAAAUGAUAGAAUCGAAGUAAAAAAAUUGAAAUAGUGAUUUAGAGCUUACCCAACCUCAAAAAUGGAAUAAAUCUCCCAAAACUCAUUCAACCUGAAGCUCAAAGUCUCAAAAAUGGAGAAAAAUUAUGAAAAAUGGUUUUUAUAUCAACACACCUAUGACCGCUUAAGCGGUCAUCGCUUUAGUGAUGGGUCGACUGCUUAAGUGGUCCAGUCUAGAAAUAUAAGGCCGCUAAAGUAGUCCACCACCGCUAAAGUGGUGAUUGCUAAAGUGGUCAAGUGUUUGCUUUAGCUGUGAUUCACGAUCAAUAGGGUCCACUAAAGCGGUGUAUGGGCUGCUAAAAUGGCUACCAUUUAAGCGGAUGCAGCAAAAUUCAGUUGCAUUAGCAACUUUGCUAAGUUGCAAAGUUGUUGAUCAAACCCUCGGGAUUCGUUUGGAAUCCUAUGAAGGCAAACAAAAUAUGCUACUAGACUAAAUUUGAUGUUCUAAACUCAAUGGUGACAUUAGAUUUUCGAAAAGAUAUUAUUUUCACAAAAUUAGCCCACGAGACCUAAUUUCACUAAUUUUCAAAACAAUAGUCAAAUUGAAAUCCAAAAGUCACAAAAUUGAACUACUCAUGCUACCAACCCAAAAUUGAUAUUUUAGAUCUACUAGUGCAGUCUGUUUUGCCAUCCAACACAAAGUACAACAAGUGUUGGCUGAGGUCAACUAUGAGGCCUUUCAAACCUAUAAAAACCACAAACUUGCACAAAUCAUUUUGGAUCAUAUCGAGAAUCUGCCAACUAUCCCCACACCUUAAAAAAAUACAUAGCAACCACAGAGAGGGGUAAAAUGGUGAAAACACAUAAAUGGGGAAGGUUCACAGAAUCGAGUCAUUACAAUAUCCACCACUAAUAAUCUAAUUUGUCCUCAAACUAAAGGUAAGAUAAAUACCUGAAUUGGCAAAAAGCUAGGGAUAACUGCUACGUAUGUCAGACUCGACCUCCUAAGUAGCCUCAUUUAUAGAAUAGUAUCUAUAUUAAAACUUAUCCACUUGAAUAUCUCUAGAAUGAAAUCAUCUAACAUCCCAGGAUAAAAUAUAGACUAGCUCCCUAACAAAGGACAAUCUCUUAUCUAACUACGCCGUGUCGCAACGAAUGACAUAAGACUCAUCUGGGAUAUAAUUUCAUAGCAUGGAUAUUUGAAUAACUAGAUAAACGAAUUAAAGAUCUGGGGGAAAAGCUACCUCAUAAGCUACAUCUCCAGUAGUCUAAAGAAUCUCAAAUGACCCAAUUUACCUAGGUCUAAGCUUGACCUUCUUCCCAAAUCUCAUCGUACCCUUAAUGGGUGACACUUGAAAGAAGACUCGAUCACCAACAUUAAACUUUAGGGCAUGAAGUCUACGAUCUGCAUAACACUUUUUCCUACUCUUAGCCGCUCGAAGUCUAUCCUGAAUAGACCAAACUUUAUCCAAAGACUCAUAAAACAAGUUAGUAUCUCGAGGUCUAAUCUCAAAAGUCUCAAACCAACCAAUUGUAGAGAGGUGAUGCUUACAAUAUAAUGGCUUAAAAUAUGCCAUGUCAUUACUCAGAUGGUAGCUAUUAUUAUACGCAAUCUUUGCCAAGGCUAAAGACAGCUCCCACUAACCUCCGAAGUCCAUAACAUAAGCAGUGAGAAUAUCCUCCAAAACUUGAAUAGUUCGCUUUGACUAUUCAUUAGUUUGGGGGUGAAAAGCUAUCCUAAGAUCAAACUGAGUACACAACUACUCCUAAAAGGUCCUCCAAAAGUUAAAAGUAAAAAGUGAACGUCUAUUUGAAAUAAUAGACACUGGUACAUCGUAUAGAUGGAAUAUCUCACAAACAUAGAUAUGGGCUAACCUCUCAGUACUAAAAAACACGAAUAGGGAUGAAAUAAACAUAUUUGUUCAAUCAAACCACAAUGACAUAGAUAAUAUCAGAACUACAAGAAGUAUGAGACAACCUAGUCACAAAGUCCACACAGAUCUAUUUUCACUUCCACUCGAGUAUGGGUAACCUCUGAAGCAAACCUCCAGGCCUCAAAUGCUCGACCUUCACCUAUUGACAACAUAGGCAAUGAGCUACAAAGUAUGCUACAUCCUUUCUUAUACCACUUCUCCAGUAGUGUUAUAUAAAAUCAUGAUAUAUCUAGGUCUCUUUCAAAUUAAUGGAGUUCUUAGAAAAUGGGCCUCCUCUAAGAUUAGUCUUACCGAGUCACCCACUCCUAGUGCACAAACUUAACCUCCAAUUCUAAAAACACCAUCAAAAUCAAGUGAGGCUUCCUUAAUAUUGCCAUUUAACACUAUAUAUUGAAUCACUCUCAAGCCAUCAUCAUCAAACUGAUGAGCCCAAUCUUCUCAAUCAAGGAAGAUCAAGCCUCCACAAGUGCCAAAACACACCAAAGUGUUAAAAUAUUGAGCCAAGCUAUCCGGUUAGCAAAAGACUAAACCUUUAAGGAUAAAGGCCUCUCUUAGGUCAAAAGAUAAGAUAAGCAACCCAUACUAGUCAUUUUCUAGUUCAAGGCAUUCACAAUUAUAUUAGCCAUACACGGAUGGUAGAGGAUAGUGAGAUAAUAAUUCUUAAGAAUCUCAAGUCAAUGACACUGACUCAUAUUAAGAUCUUAUUAGGUGAAGAAGUACUGAAGACUAUGGUGAUCCGAGAAGAUCUCACAAUAGAAUCCAUAGAAAUAAUGUCUCCACAAACUCAAUACAAACACAAUUACGCAUAACACAAAAUUGUGGAUAGGGUAAUUAUUUUUAUAAGGCUUCAACUAACAAGAAGCAUACUCAAUUAUCUUACCCCCCACACCAACACGACACCUAACCCAAUGACAGAAGUAUUAUAAAAGAUGGUAAAGCUCAUGCUCUUUUUGGGAAAAGUCAUGAUAAAAGCCGAUGUCAAUAAAUCCUUAAGCUUUUAGAAGCUCACCUUAUAAGUAUUUGACCAAUGAAAGGAAAUCUUCUUCUGUGUCAACUUGGUCAAAUGCGCUACAAUAGAUAAAAAACCCUCAACAAAGCAUCGAUAGUAGCCUACUAAACCAACAAAACUCAACAUCUUAGUAGGAGAAGUUUGCCUAACCCAAUCAGGAAUUGCUGCAUUCUUGGCCAUAUCGACCAUAAUACCAUCCUUGGUCACAACAUGACCCAAGAAAGAUACAGACUCAAGCUAAAACUCUAUCUUGGAGAAUUUAUCUUACAACUUCUCAUUUUUUAACCUCUGAAGUACAAUCCAUAAAUGCUCCUCAUGAUCAACCUCACUUUUGGAGUAAACCAAGAUAUCAUCUAUAAAUACAAUGACAAAAGAGUCGAGAUACAAUCAAAACACCAGGUUCAUCAAAUUAAUAAAUGCGGCUGGAGCAUUUGUUAAACCAAAGGACAUGACCAAGAACUCAUAAUGACCUUAUUGAGUCUAAAAAGCUAUCUUCAGAUAAUUCAAAGCUCUUAUCCUCAAAUGGUGAUACCGGAACCUCAAAUCAAUCUUUAAAAAAAUGCUAAAGCACCCUAAAUAUGAUUAAAAAAUCAUUAAUAAGAGAAAGAGGAUACAUAUUCUUAACCAUCACCUUGUUUUACUACCGAUAAUCAAUACACAUGUGCAUAAACCUAUCCUUUUUCUUCAUAAACAAGACAAGCGCACCCCAAGGUGAUACACAAGGUUGGAUAAAUACCUUAUCUACUACCUUUAACUGGUCCUUUAAUUCUUUCAACUCAGUUGGGGCCAUCCUAUAAGGAGGAAUAAAAAUGAUCUUGGUUCCUGGAUCAAUAUUAAUAGCAAAGUCAAUAUCACGAUCGAAGGCAUACUAGGAAAAUCCAUAGGAAAAAUAUCUAUAAAUUCACAGACAAUAUAGACAGAAUCUAAAGAAUGCGGUGAAGCAUCACUAGUAUCAUGAAUAUGUACCAAGUAAGACAAACAUCCCUCCUCUACCAUAAGACAAGCACAUAAAAAAGGAUAUCUCGCUUUGGACCUGAAUAAAGCAUACCCUUCCAAGCCAUCCUUCGCACAUAUAGUGAAGCUAUAGUCAUAGUUUUAAAAUAUCAUUUCAGAAUAGAAUUUUAGGGAGCUAACCAAUCAAUGCCCAAGAUGAUAUCAAAAUCUACCACAUAUAGGAUAAUUAGAUCUACCCAAGCCUCGUGCCUUGCAAAAUUCAAAACACAUGAUUGAUGCACCCGAUCCACCAUUAGAAAGUCUUUGUUGGGGGGUAGAUACAUGAAUAGGCAUAACAAGAGGCUCACAAAUAGAAUCAAAACCAAAAGAAAAAUAUGCAGAUACAUAGGAGAAAGUCAUCCCAAAAACAAAUAACAUAGAUGCAGAUCUGAAGUAAACUAAGACGAUACUUGCGAUAAAAAUAUUACAAGUCUUUGUCUCAGGACUGGGGUGUAUAGAAUAACACUGACAUAUCUUUUAUUAAAAUGAACAACCCCGCGACCAACACCACAGGUACUACUACCUCUUCCUCGCACACCUUUAGUAGUACCUUUACCACUCUAAGAGUCACAUCUUAUUGUUGAUAUAGGAGUAGGCCUGAAAACACAGCGAGGGAAAAUAUUAGCCACAUGUCAAAAAUCAUCACACAUAAGAAAACCUUUACGACCCUACAAAAUUUGAUGAGGUGCAGCUGAGUUAGAACAACCACCCUGGGAUAACACUCGACUUACCGUAGUUGCUGAAUCUUACCACUCGAGCCCUGCAAAGUACCUACACUGGUCUGCCAUGGUAACCAUAGGAUCCCAAAAAUCUCUACCUUAGGGGGCGUUCCCUCUAAACUUGUCUUGAUGAUACACCAUCUUGGCACCUCCCUGAGUAGUUUAAAAAAUCAACUCGCAUGAUCCACCAUAUUUUAAAAUAACACUACCAUCUAGGCUGCAGCUAAAUGAGAUAAAGAAUUCAAUACAUUCACAAACUUUUAAAUCUUCUUAGACUCGGUGGCAAUAAUAAAAGUAGAAUAUCUAGAAAAUGCAUAGAAAUAUUCCUCAUACUCGACAAUAGUCAUGGACCCUUGCUUCAAGUGAUCAAAAUCAUCUCUUAUCAAAUCGCUUAAACUGAAGGGCACAAACCUAUCCAAAAUAGCCUCAGCAAACUGAUCCCAAGUCAUCGCUGGUGAACCAAAGGGUGCUGCAACUAACAAGUGACCUCCACCAAUCCCUGUUCGUAUCUCUUAACAAAUAGGUAGUAUAAGCAAAUCUACGUGACUCGAGUGAUCUAAGGUUAUACAACUUCUCCUAGUAGUCAAUCAAAAACUCAUAUUCAUUCUUGCCCACUUCACCACUGAACUUGGUUGGACCCAAGAGAAUAAAUCUCUCAAACCUCUUCUGAUCCUCAAAAGACAAAAUGACACUUUAAGUAAUAGAAGGAAUAAUAAAUCUAAAAGGUUGUGAUCUUACCUAAGGGGUAACAUAGAGGAAGAUCAAAAUCCUAAAGUUAGAAUACCAUACUUGAAUACCGAUAUAGAAGGAGAAACAACACUUGGAGUUUGCAGAAUACCAUAAAUAGAUAUUGCUACCAAUGAAGGAAUCACACUUGGAACUAGAGGAACACUAUAAGUGAACUCUAGCAAAGAUGGAGGUACAACACUCAGAGCUGGAGGAAUACCAGGUGCACUUAAAAGGAACACUUUCCAAAUAAGUUAGUAAACAAACCAAUAAGCUCUUCAAGAUUGAGGUAGUAGUACUCUGUGGAACCUAAGUAGGUCCUAUAUCCCUAGCAUGCUCAACCUCGGGAUCAGGAGAGAUUCCCCUAGUACUACCUCUAGAAAGGGUAGAUCUUUAUACCCAUACUCUACCUUAAGCCUUUCAAUGACUCAAAACUCGUCCACUAGGUUGGGCUCUCUCAGCAGAUACUAGCUCAACAUGACUAGGCUCAUAGGAUAUAGUCCUCACUAUCAAUGCAAAAAUGAGUGAAUUACAAUUUAGAAUAUAGGGUAUGUAAGACUCGCAUGAAAAAAAUAAAAUAAGGAUGAUUCCUAAAGAUAUCUUAUACCUUUUUGAAGAUAGAUACAAAUAUCUACUUAUAAAUUUGUGAGACUCUACUAGACACCCUAUUCUUACACUUAGAAGAUCGAUAAAGCUAGCUGCUCUAAUACCAAAUGUCACGAACCAAACACAAAGGUCAUGAUGAUACCUAUCGCAACUAAGCCUUGAUAAGUAACCCAAUCACCCAAACUGAUAAGUAAGAAGAAACAAUGCAAUAAUUCCCAAGGAAAGACUUUUAAAGAAAAUGCAAGCCCAUACAAGUACAAUAAUAGAAAAAUCUGAAAAUAAAGAUGCCAUAAAUCAUUCCAAAACCUGGUGUCAUAAUGUAAGAACAAUCUAAAUAAAACUCAGAACUGGAAAUACAACCUAAUUCAAGAAACUAUAAGUUUGUGUCUGAAUAAUAAAUAAGGACAUCAACUAGAUAUGAAGAGAUUUGAGGUUGCCUCUAAAGGCAUAGAGCGACCAAUACCUCAAAAAUGCCACUGCUCAAUCGCAUAAUCUUAGUUGUCGCUCGAUGCACUCAAAUAUGGAUCUACACUAAAAGGGUACAGUAGGGAUGAGUACGGUGCACUUACUCAGUACGUAUUGAUGUAGCCCAAAUUACACCUCCUAGAAAGUAUAAAGUAAUUGCUGGUCAAAUAUAGAACCCAACAAGGUUGGGUCGAUCCUACGAGGAAUAGGUCAAAAAGUUAUCAUAAGCUUGUUAAAAAAUUAUAGAAAGUAAAUGGGGGGGGGGGGUUUGUAAUAGUAAGAGUAAAGUAACAAUGCUGGGUAAUUAUACUUAUUAUCAAUAUGAGACAAUUACUAGGAUUUUCUUCCCCUAAUUUUACCACUACUCUGACUUAUCAUUCUCGUCAGACUAUAUCGACGCCUUGCAUACAAAAUUUAAUAAGGUAUGUAUCAUCUAACCAUCUCUCAACCUUGGUUUAGGUGAAUUUCACUCAUAUUCUCUCUGUCUGAGCGUGUCGCAUUACUAACCCUUGUCUUAGAUAUCAUUUUAACUAUCUUGUCUCAGCCUCAAGUUAAUUAGAUAAAUAUUGAUAGCUUCAAAUUAAUAUUGCAGUUUCUUUUUCCUAAUAUCUACCUCUUACUCGAGCAAGUUUCGAAUAUAGGUGAGUUUCUAACAUUUGCAAUCAUCAUGAAAGUAAUCAAAAUAAAAGAAAUCCUAAUACAUACAAGAACACCAAUUAAGAAUGACUUUGCACUUUCUCUUUAUUGUUAAUCCAUUAGAGUUCCCACAACCCUAGUUAUGGGGUUUAACUGCUCUGAUUGUAAGAACAAACUUAGAAUUCAUGGAUGAAAGCAUGAACUUAUGAAGAAUAAUAAUGAAACCUAAAAUCUCAUAUUAAUGUCAAACCUUAAAAACUAAGGGUGUGCAUCGGUCAGUUCAGUUCUAUUUUAUGUGUUAUUAGUUUGUUUUAUCGGUUUUUUAUUUUUAAAUAUGUAAAACCAAUAACCAACCUAUAAGAUAUUUUCUUAUCGGUUCUGGUUUAUCAGUUUUUGGUCCUUAAUGGUUUGGUUUUCAGUUUAACCAAUAAGAAAAUACUUAUAAAAUAGAAAUAGUAACAACUAACAUAAAAAAUAAAAUCUUAAUUAUCGCCAAAAUCCUACGCAAUGCAUUUUUGUCUACAAGAAUCUUCAAACUUGAAUUGAAUGUUAGUUAGAAAAAAAAUUAAAUCCUAAUUGUUGGAAGCUAUAAAUGCUUCAAGGUUGUCAAUAUGAUAAUAGCCGAGCUUUAUAUUGUACCUUUGUGGCCCUGAAUAGGUUAAUACUUUGUGAAUCACCGAAUUGUGAAUAAGUAGUGCAUAUAAUAUAUAUACAUACACAUAUCUAUAUAUCUAUAUAUAGAUAGAAAGAGAGAGAUUUAUAUAUAUAACAUAAAUAGGGAUAAAACAAUAAUUUACUAUAUCCUUAUUGGGUUAUCGGUUUAACCGAUAACCUAAUAAGCUAAAACUGAAACCAACCGUUUACCCAAUAAAUUUUUUUAUAAAACUAAUAAAAAAUUGUUAACCCAAUAAUCCAAUACCAAUAACCCAAUAACAUUUUUAUCGGUUCGGUUUAUCGGUCGGUUCGAUUUUUGCACACCCCUACUAAAAACCAAGAAUAGUAAUUUCAAGAUCAAUAAUGUAUCUCAGAGUUUUUACAAUGUAAAAAGUGUAAAAAGUGCAUAAACUAAUAAUAAAACAUCAAAUAGGUAUUAUUGAUACAUCAAAAAACCUAUCCUAAACAGUGUAGGAAACUUGAGUCGACACUAACCCAAGAGGCUACCUACGAGUCUUAUGUAAUACCUACGGGGCAUAAGUAGGAUUUAUAAAAGUUAGAGGAAUCUUCAAAAUGCAGAUCACCUACCUACAAAGGCAACUUACAGUCUGUAAGUAGUACCUGCACCUUGUAAGUAAGGGGCCUAGUAAUCAAAUUUCAGCAACAACUCUCAGAACUUUGGCUAAUCCACCUACGUGGCCAACCUAAGAGCCUGUAGGUACUUUCUACAACCCGUAGGUAUGGCUCAUAGCUAACCUUCUUAGCUUUUUUUCAUCCCCUUUUCUAAUUCUUAUCCUCGAACUCUAUUUUCCUGCAAAAUAAACACAAAAGUACAUCACAUCUAUCAUGAAUCCCUAAGUACUUGCAUAAUUUUCUUUUUUUAAGAAUCGAAAGUGCCAUAAAAGCAUGGAACAUCAACACCCUCAUCUUAGAAUAUUUGCAUGUCCUCAGGAAACUAGCAUAUAAUAGAAAAAUACUAUGCUUAACCAAAAGAAACCUAAGGCACCUAAGAUAGUAAACUCAUUUUAGCUCCUCGCCUCUACUCUUGUCUCAGAUACCUCUAGUAUGGUCCACACCCAUAGCCAUAUCUGAGCAACUAAUAUGAAAAAUUAAGUGUCAGUAUAUGUUAGCCGAUCACUCAACUCCUAGUAUCGAUCCACAAACUACUAUAAAAAAUCUCAAGACACAAUAACCAUGCCUGAAAUUGGUGGGUGAGGGUGCAAAGUAGAAGAUAAAGCUAGAGUUGAAGUGACCGUAUCCCCCUUACUGCCCGUCGUAUAUAAAUUAUCUAUCCUCUGGAUACUAAUAUCAACCUCGCCAUCCAAUAUUGGCCUCUCAACAUGCUCAUCUUAAAUAGAAGGCCCCUCAAAGUGGGUCGCACCGAAAGAUGUUGAAGGUGGUGCUCUAUGUAGUACAAUAGGGUUGGCAUCAACCUUAAUCAAACCAAAAUCAUCCAUGUAGGUAGACUCAAUCCUAUGAUCAAUCUCUAGAAUAGUCAACACUCUUGCCAUAUUACACAACUUCUAUAGCAAGCAAGAAAAGAGAAGGGUGGUGAACUCGAGAAAUGCUCUCUCGUGAAUCUCAUCUUGGAUCCACCUAGCAAAAUUAAUAUAAUAGCUAGCUUUAAGAUUGACAAUCAGUACAACUCAAUCGCAUGUGAGCAUAUUGUUUGCAGAUGUAAGACUCAAUCGAUGAGUCAUAAUAGUCCACUAAAAUUGUACUGCAAAAUAUGGUGACACCAUCUUUAUCUCUCUUCCCCUUAACCCAAAGGGCAUCAGUACUAAGCUCAGAUAUCUACCGAGCUAACCAUCUAGCUAAGUUUAUCCUCUAUGAUUUAUGAUUAGAAUCUCUCAUAGUAUGCCUACUCUGCAUAAUCCUCAAUCUAUAAUCAAACUUUGUUAUGGUGGAUGGCCCAAAUAAGAAUCAACAAAUGGUUUCCAUAGAUAAAUCAACCCAAACCCCACUGACAAAUAUACGAGUCAGUGAGGGAUAGUCCAAUGCUCUUUCCUUAGAUGGGGUAAUCAAAUAUAUAAACACCAUUAAGAAGCACAAAACUCUUGAACAAUGUUAGGGCAGAAGCUCCUGAAGGUUGGUCCAUCCAACUAAGUUUAUUAUGAUCAAAAGCAGCCUACAAGCCUAGAGCACUGGCCAAAAUGACAAGCUCAUCUCUCAAUCUAGACUGCACACCCUUCUUUGGUGUAGCUUUUGGUGCCAUAGUACCUGUAAAGAGAGUUCCAAUGAUGGAAACACAACAAUAGUGCAAUAUGAGAAGAAAAUAAAGAUUCUAACUCAGAGGCUACCUACGAACCCUACCUAUGGGUUGUAGGUAGUAUUUUUGAGCUGUAGGUAGUACCUAAGAGGUCGUAGGUAGUCUCGUAGGUAGCAGACAUAGCCUCUAAACUUUCAGGGAUUUAAGUCUAAUACUUAUGCGGUAACUUACGAUCUUGUAGGUUUAACUUACGUAUUCGUAGGUAGGUUUUGUGGGUUCAAUCAAAGGGUAUUUGAAUUUCUUCCCCAAAUUCCUACCCAACAUAGAUAAUAUUUCAAUUUCUCAAACCAAUUUUGAUUACUAAAACAUGCAUCAAUUAAAUUUCCAUAGGUAUUUCAAACAUUAUUUGAGUUAAUCAACUUCUACUCCACUUUUAAAUACGUGCAUAGGUUAUUUCAAUCAAAAUAAAGUUAUUAAUCAAGUUUGGAUCAUGAAAAACCUUACCUGAAGUGAAGGUUGUAGUAGAAGAAGAAAACACUAUGAUUUUGCACCAAACUUAAGUGUAAUACACAUAGGAAUGUGGAAUGUGGGGUAGAGUUUGCCUUUUUAACUUUUAAAAGGGAGAAAGAGAGUUUAAAUUAAAGAGGGAGUUUGUAACUAAUAAGUUUGAGGCUAAAUGGACCAAGUUAGGGCUUAUUUUUAAUGGAUUGGCCGGUUUAGGUAGGUCUCAUGGGCCCACCCUAUUUUUAAAAUUUUUUUCCCACUAUUCAGAGCCUACCUACGCCCUUAUUUACAGGCAGUAACCUAUGAGCUCAUAGGUAGGGGUCAUAGGUGGAUCCUACGACUUUGUUUUUGUUCUGAUUCCUAUGACCUAACCUAUAAGGUCAUAGGUUGUACCUACAGGUCCGUAGGUAGUGGUUGUUGG
This 57976-nucleotide long non-coding RNA is filed under the name Capsicum annuum. Its description in RNAcentral is "long non-coding RNA (CANN_LNC013754)". The record is from RNAcentral. Lineage: Eukaryota; Viridiplantae; Streptophyta; Magnoliopsida; Solanales; Solanaceae.